This 53673-nucleotide long non-coding RNA is filed under the name Physcomitrium patens. RNAcentral's name for it is "long non-coding RNA (PPAT_LNC001721)". Lineage: Eukaryota; Viridiplantae; Streptophyta; Bryopsida; Funariales; Funariaceae. The record is from RNAcentral.
AAAAAAAAGUAUCAGAUUCUCAUAACAUCGAACACCAUUCCUCGAUCUCGCUUGAACUCAUCCAUACAUGUAAAACCAAUUUACAACUACUAAACACAGUCAUGAUCGACAUCUUAACUAUUAAUUACAUAACAAACAUUUACUGCACACAAACAUGCAAGGUAAACAAAAUGAAAGAACUGUGCAAUACACAUUAUCGAUUCUAACAACUGUAUGUUAUAAUGGAGAGAAACACAGCAAGCUCCCCACUUCUGAAGUCCUCAACAUCUUCACUGUGACGCUAGCACAAAAUUUUCCGAACAGAAAUUUCAUGUGUGCCUAGCCUGAGGCUUUUAACCCUUAACUCUGUAGACGUUAACGUCUUUCUGCGAAUGCGCUGAAGCCAAAUCUCAAAGAUUUGUAACAUUCGACUUGAUCAGUGGUCACAGAAAGAAACCCUAAAUCCGAUGGCACAGAAUAGAGAAAGUUGUGCACUAAAAUACAGCCCACCAACAAGACUUGUCCGGUCCUCAAAUCUCUGAUAUAGGAUGAACGCUAUACCUGAGCCCCUGCUCACCGCUCCUCUCUAUCCAUUAAGUGUUAAACGGGAUAAAACAUCUUCCUUGAGCUUCGAAAUCAAGUCCUGCGCUUGAGGCGUCCAGAAUGGGAGCGUGCUCAUCUGGUCAUUGAAUUGAUCGAACAGAUAGCGAAUCUCGUCCUCUUUGCUACCUUGACCCGCUUCUUCCGGUUCAUCUUAGAUAAUCCGAUCCGGUAUAUCGAGUUGGUUGGGUGAUGUAUUAAGCCAACUGUCCACUAGCAGCAGCAGCUUGCGCAAAGAGGCGUACCUUAGGGAUUCACUUACAACAAAGUCCCUAAACGCACAACCUAGGUCAUUGUGAGCACGAAAUAGAUGAUUCUCGAAGUACUCAGCAUUGUAGUCCCUCCUCCCCAUAAGGUAUUCUGCCGCAUCAAACGCCCACUUCUCCAUACUCACAAGGUCUUCAGCGGCACCAAACUGCCGCUCGUCGAUGUUCAAAGGUACAAGCUCUGCUUUCAGUUCAUUUGCAAUGAUUGUAAACGCUAUGUCAGAAACGACUUGGGGCACUGUUUCGGGCUGGCCAGGCAAUCUAUUCAGGAAGCGGUUCACUUCUGGCUCGUGCUGUUUGAAUACCGAGUACCUUUUGGAUUCAAGUUUAACAAAUUCUUCAUACGAAACACCUUGAUCUUUGUGUGUUCGAAAUACGUGGUGUCCAAAGGCCUCAGCAUCGUAGAUCCUCCUCUCUGUCAGGACUUCAGCCGCAUUAAACGCCCACUGCGCCUCUUCUACACUGCCAAAGGUUCCGAUCCAAAUUCUUCCACCAUGAUUCGUGCGCACUUGCACCGUCCACCUAUCACCACGUCGCCGGCGGAUGUAUCCCGUCUGCCCCUCCAUCAAAAGAAUUGCAGCUCAAACACAACGUAAAACACAAAAGGCUUCGCCACCAAGUGCAACUCCCGGUCUCCCUUCCCUGUAACCCAAUUCCGCUCGUUCUCGCUCUUCCUCUCUCGAACAACGCCUCUCCUAUUACGACGUCGGCGAAUUGAGAGCAGGAGCACGAAGGGAUACGAGACCCUAAAUCACUAAGGAACUCUCAACAUCGAAGCCUCGGCGUCGAUCCCUCCGAUGCUGGAGCUGUAUAGCGAGCAAUAUGGUGUAAGGGUCUAAAGGAUCUGACUCUUACACUUCUUGUUGAGUCAAAAGGUAAUUGGAGCCCCCGCGAUCUCUAAGCCCAUGGGAAAGCCGUGGCGAGGUGGCGAUGGAGUGGAUGGGCGGGCCACCUCCCUCACACCGAGGAACCACACGAUGCGGGGGCAGCGUGUGGUGUGAGGGGGAGUAUUUUGGAGUCCCUGUGGAGUCCCGGGUGAUCCGGAAGAGUCAGGAGGACUUACACCGACCACCGGAGUUUAGCUUGCUGGCGGCAUGAGUCUGGAGUUACAGAGACCAGACUGUGGUGACAGUAUCCGGGAGUAGGGUCCAGUUCACAGGGCCAGUAUUAAUGGGGUUUCUUGUUGGUGGCGUUUCAGGGUGAAAUCGAGUGACCAGCAAGAGGAGAACCGUUACAUGUGGUAUGAGAGCUUGUUUUAGAUCGGUAUUGAGAAGUAGAUUGGAGGGAAAUUUCUGGAACCAAUCUUUGGACUAAGGCAAGAGAAGCAUUGGCACAAGAUGGGGAAGAAAACUACCAAAACUGCCUUUCAACUAUUGGACAAGGAUGAGAUCCUUGAGACCGAAGUGCAAGAGGGUCAAGAAGUAGCCAAAUCCAAAUCCAAAAUGAGUUUGGUGAAAAAGAAACCUUUGCUUGAAGAGGAUCUUUCUCUCAUCCAGGUGAUGGAUAGUGAAGAGGAAGUUGAAAGAGAGCAAGAGAAGUUUCAAGAAAGCUUGCAAGAAAUUCAAAAAUCUCAUAGUGAUGAGGAAGAUAUUGAUAAAGAAGGAAGGAAUCCUAGAUCACAAAGACCUACUUCUUCCAAGACCUCUAAGGACUCAAUAGAAGAAUCAAGAGUAGAGAAACAAAGAGUUGUUUCCCUUGAUGAAGUUGAGAAAAUGGUCAUGAGGUUGAUGGAAGAGAGAGACCAGGAGUUUGAGAAGAAGAUGGAGAUGAACCAACUUCUGAUAGACUCCUUGAUGAGAGAAAAUGUGAGAAGAGAGGCCUUACUUGAAGGUCAAAAAGGCAAGCUAAGUUCUCACAAAGUCAAGACUCAUCAACCAAAAAAGUAGAAGGGCGUAGAGCACAAAAAGACUGUAAGGAGAUUUCUUAAGAAAAUUGAACAUUGGCAUUUGGCCAAUGAUAUUGAAAGGGAUGUGGAUAAAAUAAGGACUUUGUCUACAUUACUGGAGGGAAGUGCUUUAGAUUGGUUUGAUGAAGAAAUCAAAAUCAAUCCUAACUAUGCCAAAGAAACCACUUGGGCUCGAGUCUGUGAGAGAUUGAUAGCUAGAUUUGAGAGUAAGUGGCAAAACUUCAUUGAAAGAUUGCAACUUCUCAAAUUAAGGCAAGAAGGAGGAAAAGCCUCACUUCUGAAGUAUGUUGGUGAGUUCCAAAACCAACUAACCUAUACUCAACUGGACUAUGAAAAGUGUUUAUUGCUUUUUUUUUAUAAUGGAUUGAGUAUUGUUACAGGAAAGAAAUAUUGGAAAAGAAAAACCAUACUUAUAAAUAUUAAUGAUGCAUUUGCCUUGGCUUGUUAACUUGAAUUGGAGGAAUAAGGGGCGGGUCAUAGUGAACAAAGCACUAUGACUAAAACAUAGGAAAGAAAGACUAGUUUCCAAAGGGGAAUUAGGCCCUUCCAUGGAAGUAAAAAAUCACCUUUUCUCAAGAGGAAAUUUGAAGAAAGUGUUUCUCAAGUUGAGAAACUUAAGAUUAAAGAAAGUCAAGGGAGUAGUACUAAGAAGGCAAAAACAAGUUCUUCUAAAGUAAUUUAUUUUAAGUGUCAAGAAAAGGAACACUAUGCAAAUGAAUAUAAGAAUGAAGAAGUGCCUAGAAAGGUAAGUGAACUUCCUAAUGCUUCUUUGUCAAAUGAGACUCUUGAAGUAGAUUGUCUUCAAGUUAUGAGUCUUAGUAAAAAAGUUUUGGUUAAGAAAGGGGAUUUUUAAGGAAAACUCACUGCCAUUAGUUUGCAUAAGAAACUCAUUUAUCUUGAUACUAAAGUUGAAAAUUAUGAAACUUCUAUGUUGAUUGACACAGGGGCAAUCAACUCGUUUAUGAAUCCAACUUGUGUCCAAAGACUCAAGUUGAUUUAGGAGGAAACUAGGAGGGUGAAGAUUUUCUUUGCUUAAGGCAAGGAAGUGACCAACUUAGUUGUAAAAGAUGUGAAGUUUAAGUAUGGAAACCAUAGGUUUCAAGAAGACUUCACAGUUUGUAACCUUGAUGGAAUAGAUGUAGUUCUCGGAAAUACUUUUCCGGACUUCUAUGGAAUUGAAUUUCGAUGGAAGCCCAAAACCAAAGUAGUCAUGGUUGGAGAAAAUAAAAAAGUAGUAAACUUACCAUUUACAAACCUCCCCAUGUUAUAUCAAUCCAGGAUUUCCAUAGUAUCUCAGAGUGAAUUAGAAGGGAAACAAUUUCUCUUCCACUUGAGAAGUUGUGAUAUGGAUCCCGUAGAUGAUGUAAAAAAUGUUUCUUUUCUUAAUAAAAAAGACUUGAUGAAAACUACUUCUUAUUGUGCAAACUUAAUUGCUGAUCUUUUAAAUGAAUAUGGAGAUGUUUUGACAAAAGAACUUCCAAAACAACUUCCACCAAGUAGAGUGGUAGAUCAUAAGAUAGAUUUGGUACCGCAUUCACAACCUCCAAGUAGAGCACCUUAUCGAUUAAACCAAAGAGAGUUCAGUGAAUUCAAAGCAUAGCUUAAUGAGUUGCUUGAAAAAGGGUAUAUAAAACCAAGUAAAUCUCUAUUUGGAGCUCCAGUUCUUUUUGUGAGCAAAAAGGAUGGAAAAAUGAAGAUGUCCAUUGAUUAUAGAGCCUUAAAUAAGAUCACCAUAAAAAAUAACUAUCCACUUCCAAGAGUUGAUGACUUACUGGAUAGGUUAGGUGGUAGUAGAUGUUUUAGUAAGAUUGAUCUUGAAAGUGGAUAUUACCAGAUAAGGAUAGCUCAAGAAGACAUUGAAAAAACUGCUUGUAGAAGGAGAUAUGGUUCCUAUGAGUUUGUAGUAAUGCCUUUUGGGUUGUAUAAUGCACCUACUACCUUCACUACUCUGAUGAACUCAAUCUUUCAUAAGGAAAGUGAUGAGUUUGUAGUGGUGUAUAUUGAUGAUAUUCUGGUUUUUUCUAAAAUUGAGGAAGACCAUUAGCUAUACCUGAGGAUCGUCUUACAGAAACUAAGAGAUAAUCAAUUGUAUGCUAAUUUAGAAAAAAAUAUGUUCUUUUUAAAAGAAUUAGAAUUUCUUGGACAUAUCAUCAAUGAAGAUGGAAUAAAACCAGACCCAAAGAAGAUUGAAGCAAUAUGAAAUUGGAAAGUGUUGAAAACUCAAAAAGGAGUGAGAUCCUUUUUAGGACUAGCAAAUUAUUAUAGGAAGUUUAUAAAGAACUUCUCUAAAAUUGCUAGCCUACUUACUAGCCUAUUGAAAAAGAAAAACAACAUCAUUGAUUGGAAUGAUGAUUGUAGUGCAUCUUUCAAAAAAAUCAAGGAUGCCUUUGUAUCAAGUCAUGUCUUGUUCUAUCCUAAAUUUGAUAUGGAAUUUGAAGUCUAUACUGAUGCAAGUGAUUUUGCUACAGGAAGAGUCUUAAUACAAGAAAGGAGACCGAUAGCAUUUGAGAGUAAGAAAUUAAGUGGGAGCUAAUUGAGAUGGCCAACCCAUGAAAGAAAAUUGUUUGUUGUGAUAUAUUGUUUGAAAGUUUGGAGAUACUACUUGAGAAGUAGAAGAACCAAAGUAUACACUGACAACAUUUCUUUAAAGUAUUUUACUUCCUAAGCUCAAGCCUCACCUAAGGAACAAAGGUAGUAUGAUGUGAUAGUGUCAAUGGAUAUUGAACUAAUUUAUAAAUCGGGCAAAGACAACUUGGUGCCUAAUGUACUAAGUAGGAGAAAAGAGUUUGUAGAAGAGAAACUCCAUGAUUCUAUGACACUAAAGACUAUAGUGUAUCAUGAUGAUUCUCUCUUGAUGAAGGACAUUAAGAAAGAUUAUGAACAAGAUAAGGAUGCACUUGAGAUUAAAAAAGCCUUUGCUGAAACCAAAACUACAAGAGAACAGAGGAGACUUAUGGAGGUCUCUUCUAUAAGAAAUAGAUUGAUUUGAUUUAAGCAAAGUAGACUCUAUGUACCAGAAGGUAAAUGGAGAAGAAAAUUAAUGUAUGAAAUACAUGAUUCUUUACGUGGUGGAUAUAGAGGUAGAAAGGUCACUCUUAAAGAAAUGACAAGAUUCUACUAUUGGUCUUCUAUAAAGGAAGAUAUGGACCAAUAUGUGAAGAGUUGUUUAGUUUUUCAAAGGAAUAAAAACUCUACUUAGGCAAAGAAUAGACUCUUAGAACCAUUGCUUAUUCCAUCUCUACCUUAUAGAGACAUUUCAAUGGACUUCAUAAUUAGCUUACCAAAAUGUAGUGAAACUAACUUCAUAAUGGUAGUUGUUGAUAGAUUCAGCAAGAGUGCUAGAUUUGUAUGAAUGACUAUAUUUCCAAAAGAUUCAAAAGAGGCAAUAGAAACUGCUCCGGAAUUAACAGCAAGUGUAUUCUUUAAUAAUUGGAUUUCUUUGUAUGGAGUGCCAACCUAAAUUGUAAGUAAUAGAGAUGUGAAAUUCACAACUUAGUUUUGGCAACAUGUUAUAAGGAAAUUAGGUUUUAAAGUCAUAUUAACCAUUACUUGACAUCCACAAGGAGAUGGCCAAACUGAGAGACUCAAUGGAAUUCUAUCAAUGUAUCUAAGGCACUAUGUGGCAAGUGAUCAUAAGGAUUGGGUCAAAUCGCUGCCCAUAGCUGAGUUUAGUUAUAAUACAAUUCAGAAUGUGUCUUUAGGAAAUACACCAUUCCAAGUAGCUCAUAGCUUUAAUGCUCUGCAACCUAUAGAUUUGGUAGGAGUCAGAGAGAGUGAUGAAACAACUUCACGGUUUUAUUCAAUUAAAGGGACAAAGUGGGUGGCCAAACAGGAAGGCAUAUUAUAAACCGCUAAAGCUAGACUGGAAUUAGUCCAAAGAAGAUACAAGAAACAAGCAAAUAGGCAACGAAGGGAUGUACAAUUUGAAAAAAAGAACAAGGUUUGGUUGAAUAUAAGUAACCUCACUUGUCCAACACAUCUUACUCCCAAAUGGAUCAAAAAAUGGGCAAGUCCUUAUAAAAUUGAAAGAGUGAUAUAUAAGAAUGUCUAUGUGUUGGACAUACCUAAAAGAUUGAAGUGGCAUCCGGUUUUCCAUAUAAGUGUUCUCAAGAAAUUUGUGAAGGAUGAAAAAGACUUUCACAAAGAGAAGGGAAGAAUUCUACAUGAAGAGAAAAUAUGGGAUCAAACCAUGGAUCAAGUAGAAGCGAUACUUGAUAAGAAACGGACGGAUGUUAGAGGGAUUUAAUACUUAUAUACCGUGAUUGUCGUUUUACUUAUUCUAUAAUUCUUUUCAAAAUAAACUUGUAUAGAGAAAUUCGAACACAGGGAAAGACUAAGCGCAUGAGCUUUUCUUGUUAGGGUCACUCAAUUAACUGUUAUCAAAACCACUAAAAUACCAAAAAACACUAAAAUGCUUUCUCCUAGUAAUAAUACCCUUUCAUCAAUUGAAACAACAGUGUGCAACCUUGCACUCUUAAAAGACGGUUCAAAACUCAUAAAUUCCAUUCAAUAUCAAGAAUAAUAGACUUCACUCCAACCAAUCUGAAUUCACAAAUUUUUUGUAAUCAUAGACUUCUUCUGUCCAAAACACACACAACUCUCAAUAAACAACAAUCAUUAUCUUCCAUCCAUAAUCAAUCUUCCAAUAACUUCUCAUAUAAUUCAAUCACUCAGUAUACCAAUUACAUAACCAAUAAUUCAUAAAUCAAUCUCUGAUUUAUUCCACAGACUCACUUUUCAGUAUUCAGAAACUAUCCAUUACUCUUCAACAACAAAGAAAACAAAGAAAAUAAAGAGGUAUCACCAAGCUUAAUCUCGACUCAUGACUAUUACAGUCUGACACUCCAACAAACUUCUACAACUCCUAUAUAAUUGCUACUGAUUUCCAGAUUCUAAUCGUAAUCCUAUAAUAACUGCUUUUAAUAAUUGAAUCAAUCAUCCAUCCUCCUAAACUGACUAUUCUAUGGACUAUUAAUCUAUUUUAUCAAUAUCUUACAAAAACAAACUAAUAGCUAUUCUUCAUAGCUCUAUUUUUAUCUGUGCAGCAUCCUCACAAACACACAAUCGAUUCAUAUCUAAAAACUACUUAAUAAAACUCUACAAAAUUACUAUCUCCUCUGGUCCACCCAAUUAAUCAUUUGCUAUAUUAUCUAAUGUAGGUUCUACCAAAACUGAUUCUAAAUUCAAAUCUUCCUCCUCCUCUAAUCUGUCUAUUGACUCCUUCUUCAAAUCGUUUGAUAGAUCUUCAUUAAACUUACCCAAUUCACGGACUUGAGCCUCUAGUUUCAAGAUCUGGACAUCACAGAGUUCCAACUAAUGCGACUGCUGACUCAUCCAUUCUAGAACAUCUUCAAUUGACACUUAUGACUGGCUUCUCACUAUUAACUCUUUCAUCAAUUUUGUCACCUCAGCUUGUAAAACUUUGAUUUCGGACCUCAAUUUCUCCGUUUUGCAUCUAGAUUGGUCACUCAAUGCUUCUUUCUCUUUCAUCAAUAACUCUGCCUUGUCACCUUCCGCCUGCAACUGGCAUUUGAGUUUCUUUCAUUCUAAAUCUCAUGUCUUGUGAUUCUGGAUCAAUUCGUCUCGUUGUCCUUCCACAAUCCAUAAAGUAUGUUCUUUUUCUUUCGUCCAAGAUUCAUAUUAGUGAAUCCAUUUCCGCUCCAAUACUAGCUUAGAUUCUCCAAUUUCUUUUAUCACCCGUUCUUGCUCUUCAAUUCUUCGAUUUUGCUUUGAUAUCACCUUCUUACUAUCCUCUAAAUCCUGUUUGCUAUUGCCUUCUACAUCCAAUUCUCACACCAUACAAUAUAUUUGUGAAAUGUGCUUCAAUAAAGCAUUCUUUAGAGGUAUUCUUUCUAUCAAUCGACCUUGUCAAAACGCCAACUGAUUAAUAUCCAUCCAAAUUGGGAUUUCAUUUUUCUCUCCCAUUGCUAAACAAAUUGGAACCCGUUGUGAUUCAAUAAAUGGAACGACCUCUUGUGCCACUAUACGACUUGACUCCCCAAUUUUGUGUAUUAUAUCCGCUGUAUUGACAUUCUAUGCCAACAAAUUUUGUUCUUUCUGUGGAGGUACUAACACGGGUAUAGAACUUUCCUCUACUAGCAAUGUUUGAUGCAAUAUGUGUGUGAUCAAAAACAUACACAUAAUUGGAAUAAAGUAAAUAAGUAAACUUUUCUAAUUUCUACUUGGCUCCUAUCUUCGCAUGAAUAUAAGUGGCUAUGUACGCUGCUCAGUUAAACACCAUGCCUUCCAGCACCUCUAUUGCUGCAUACAAAAAUUUUUUGGACAUAUAUGUGGAGUGUCGGUAUCAUAUUACGUGCUUUCUUGCUCGAGAACGUGCCGGGCAUCUGGCUGUAGAAGGUAGUAUGGAGAUUCGCCAAUAGUCAAGCAGUCUAUCAAUUUUUGACUACUGGAAUAUAAACGAUUGCAAGAAUACACCGUAAAUCUAUACGGAUGCCCUUCGACUGCUUGUCGAAGUCCUUUUUGCCCCAGCCGGUAGGUCUCUAGACGUUACAGAGAACCCCGAACAACCCAAUCAGCUAAUCUCCGAUACCGCUUUGUACUUACGAUCUUGUAUCCACUGACUGUCUUAUUAGAUUAACCCAAUAAAUUUCAUUCACUCCGCAUACUCAAUCCUAUAGACACCUUUUUAAGCCUUCAAUCACAGACGUAACUCGAUUUCACAAAAUAAUCAAGAGUAAUCAAAUCCACUUCAUUAAAAAAUCCCGAUUCACCAUUACAACACUGACUUCAGCAAUGAUUGCCUCAGUCUUCCCAAAACUCUAUGAAGAAGAAAAAUCCAAUUCUCCAUCUUUUCUUUCCCGACCCGAAGCAUGAAACUCUUCUCCAAUCCCCUUGAUCUUCAAAAACCUCCAAUGAAAAUGAACUAGUAACCUUAAAAAGAGCUUGAAGCUAGCUCCCCGAUCCAAAAAAAAAUCCCCCCCCCCAACUUAUUCUCCUCCUAACCUUAUCCUCUGAAUUUCUUCAAUCUUCCGUCUUGGAUUCGAAAUUGGCUCCCAUCGUCAAAGCUUAAAUUCAAAAUUGGCUCCUGCCGUCAGAGCUUUCUCCUCCAUUUUUACCUUUAAGAGAUCCAUUUACUGAAAACAACCUUCCUUGAAAUAGCACAGAGAAUAGGAUAGCCUGAAACAGAAUCGAAACCCCGUACUCGGGUCUACAUUGAGUCGCCAGACCAAUUCAGGUCUCAUAUUAGAUAAGAGUCCAGUACUAAGAUCCGGAUUUUCCCGUAAUUAGACUGCAUUGGAUUGCCCGACCAAUGUAGGUCUCAUAUUGGGUACGAUGUCCGUAGUAACCUGGAUGUUCCCAUAAUUAGACUGCAUUGGGUUGCCCGACCAAUGCUGGUCUCAUAUUGGGUAAGAGGACCCGGAUUGGAUUCUCGAAAUUGGAUCUAAUUGGCUCUUCGAACCAGGCUCACCCGUCGCGUGAAUUGGUCCUUUCCCUUCUUGCUGACUCUCGUUAUUUGAAUCGAACGGAGCAUUUCAGUAUGCCUCGGCUAACUGUAACGGGGUGACUGAACCUAACCACUCAGUAUUUGCACUGGAGUUGGUCGUUGCUCCCAAUAUUCGAGGUAACUGAAUAUUAAUAAAAGUCCCAUUUCUUUAUAUUUUCACGGUAUACUCAUGUUACAACACGACAUCCACCCCCUUUGAACCUGUGCAUCCUCCGGUAUGUACCAAUUUAUCCAAUUGCUGUUUGAUUCAGAAUAUAUUCUCUACGUCUUUGCCCAAUUCGUCUUCGUCACCUUCAUUAUCCAAAUCACUUUCAUCUUCUUGCUGCGGAAUCUCUAUACCUUCAUUAAGGUCUUCCAUAUUCAUUUCCGAGUGUCUUCGUUUAAAUAUUUUUACUCGCUUUCCUGCAAUUGGUAUUUUCAAUUUUAUACCAUUUAACUCCCGUAAUGAGUAAGUCGCAUUAUCAUGAACUGUUGUUACCACAUAUGGUCCAAACCAACGUUUUAAAAAUUUCCGUAAAGUACUAUGUUGAUUAUCCAGACUAUUGUCAUAAACAAGUACCCAGUCACCUUCCUCGAUUGCUUUUGGUCUCAAUCGAUGUUGCUUAUCAAAUCGCGCCUUGUUUUGUAACCUUGCUCUUUUUAACCUUUCCAAUGCUAUCUGGACAUCUUCCGUUCUUUGCUCCAAUUAACGAAUCCUAAUAGCCAGAAGUUCUUCUCUUGUCAAUCCAUCUUCCCAUGGUAGCAUACUCCAAGUAAGUACCUUUUCUUCAAUCGGCAUAAUUGGUUUUUGACCUGUCAUAAGUUCUACUGGCAUAUAUCCUGUCACCAAACUAUGUGUUGUUCGAUCAGCCCAUAAUGCAAAUGACAAAAGCCGUGGCCAUUCUUUAACUUUCCCAUUACAAGCUUUAACCAAUGCUUUCACAAUCGGUGGGUGACCGAGUUUGCUUUUUGCAUUUCCUUCUGGAUUAUAAGCAGUAGUCAAUGAUAGUUUAACUCCACAUCUUUCAAAGAACUUACGAGCUUCUUGUGCAUUUAAUUCUCCACGAUCUGCAGUGAUUUUUCCUACGCACCUGUAACGGCAAAUGACAUCUUCGAGCAAAAACCUACAAAUCUCCUCUGUAGAUUUUGUCCUCAAUGCUCUUCCUUCUAUUUGAUUUGAUAAAUCUUCACGAGCUAAAACGAAAUAUCUUAUCUGCCAUAACCCAACCGGCAUAAUAGCCAAAUCAACAACCCAUUUAAAAUGAAUAGCCAGAGGAUACGUAGGAUGAAGACCAUCUCGAUGUCGGAUAUUAGAAUACGAUUGACAAAUUUCACAUGACUCUACAAAUGAGAGCACAUCUCGAUACAUAUUUUUCCACCAAUAUCGUUCUUUGAGUUUAGCAAAAGUAGCCCAGAUUCCUCUAUGCCCUGCCUAUAAACUAUUAUGAAACUCCUUUAAUAAUUUUAGUCUUUUUUCCUUUUUGCCUAUCACUCGUUGUGGCAUUCCAAUUCCUUUCUUCAGUCUCUUCCAUAAGAAUCCAUCUCGAAGUAAAAAUCCAUAUGCUUUUUUUUUUAUUUGUUUGAAUUUUUCUGUAGACCAAUUCGCCUGCGUAGUCAAGGUAUUCAAGUAAUGACCAAUAUCCAAUAAUUCUCCUUCAUAAGAUUCUUCAAGAAAUAGCUUGUCUUCUCUGUUGAGAUUUGAUAUUGAAUAGAAUUUCAAUCUGACGUCAUCAAUGUCUUCAACCAUUUCGUCCUCCCUAUCAUAUCUUGCUCGAGAUAGCAUGUCUGCUACUAAAUUGUCCUUCCCAGUAAUAUGCUUAAAUUCUGGAUUUAGUGACUUAAUAUAAGCAAUCUAUCUCAACAUUGCAAUAUCUGGUGUUGAACAGUUAAUAAUCAUUCCAAGCAAUGGCAAGCAAUCUGUUUCAAUUACUACUACUGCCCCAAUCAAAUAGUCCUUUUCAGCUUUCAUAGCCGAAACGACUCCCCAAAGUCUCUUUUGACUUGCGAAUAUGCACGCUGACGAAUACUUAAAACUUUAGCCCUAAAUGAAACUGCAAAUCUACUCCCAUUUGAAUCAUCUUGACCCACAGCCCAUCCAAUGGCAAUUGGACUAGCGUCCACAGUAAGAAUCAUUGGUCUAUUGCACUUAUAAUCAACCUUCCUCAAUAUUGGAGGUGACAUCAAUAAUUUCUUCAAUCUUUGCAUUACAUGAAUAUGCCUUUCUUCCCAUUUAAGUCGGUAACCCUUGCGUAACAGUUCAUAUAAUGGAUCCGCUAUGUGAGCAAAAUGAGGGAUCCAGAUUCGAUAAAAUAUACAUGCACCUAAAAACCUGCGAACCUCUGUUAAAGAAUCACAAUCCUCUUUCAUCCUUCCAAUUGCAUCAACUUUAGUCGGAUCUGGUUUUCUUCCGUAUGAUCCACAUAAAUGUCCAACAAUUACAACCUCUCGUACUUGUUAGGGACAUAGUCCUUAGACCUUUCUAGAGACAAGUUUCUAGAACCUUCUAGAAAGAAGUCUCUAGAAACUUCCAGAAGAUUUCUUGAAUAUUCUCUUAGAAUAUUCUUUAAAGAUCCCCUAAAGAUUCUUUAAAGAUUCUUUUAGAAGUUCCUAAAAGAUUCUUAGAAUAUUCUAGUAGAUUCUAGGAAGUUACUUGAGAAGCUUCCUAGCUCUUGGGUAGUUGCUCGAGAAGCUUCAUAGUUCUUGGGAAGCUUCUUAAUGCGCUUCCUUAGAACCAUAGGCCAGUAGUAUAUAUAGGAGUUGAGGCUGAAGAGUUCUUUAGUCUCGACAACACACCUCUUGAAGCUCUAGCUCAAUUCUCUUGGCGUUGCUCUUGUACUCAUCUGAUAAUCUAGUUCUUGUCAUUUCUUCUUGAACUUCUUGUUUAGAUUUCUUGUUUGUAUUUUUGGUACGUGACAGUUUGUCGAGACUACCUUUAUCUUAAUAUCAGAGCUGAAUCCUUCUUGUUUGAGAGCGGAUUACCCCUCUCCUUGAAGGUAUUCUAGCGCUUUAGGGGUUGCGGAUUACCUUCCUCUAAACUGAUAUUUUCUCAAUCACAAUAUCAGAGCUUAGUUCUUUGAGGCAGAGAGUGGACUACCCCUUUCCUUGGAGAUACUUGAGCGUUCUAAGGGUUGCGGAUUACCUUCUCUUGGACUGAUAUUAAUUCCUUCUUUUUGUUUAGCAUAGCUAGUAAAAAUGACUGUUAACAUCGAUUUCAGAGCUUUGCCUUCUUGAUAGAGUGCGGAUUACCCCUCUUCUUGAAAGCAUUGAGGCAUUUUUAGAGGUUGUGGAUUAUCCUCCUCUAAAACUGAAAUCGUUUAGUGUUUUUUUUUCUUUUCUCCGAGUAGGUUUUAGUGACAAGUAGUGCUACAAUUUUCUCCAAGAGACUUAGAAAUUUCUUCUUCUCUCAAAAUUUUAAUCCAUCUAUUCUCUAAAUAUGGAAGUAGACCAGGUCAUAGACAGUGCAUCCCAACAAGUAGACAAUAGAGUGGCAAUUCUUGCAGAUCUUCAAGCUCUUAUGAAUAGUGUACGAAAGGAGAUUGCAUUUCUUCGCAAUCCAAGUAAAGAACCUCAAAUUGAUCCAGUGACCGAAGAAGCUAGACGCAAAAUUCAUAGCCUACAACAAGAGAUUAUUCGACUGAGAGAAGCAAGACAUGUGUCACAUACGACCCCUAUAGAUACUUCAAGGAUUAGUACGAAAGAACCGAAAGCGAGUAUGCCAGACAAGUUUGACGGAACAAGAGCCAACUUCCGAGGUUUUGUGCAACAAGUACGGCUUUACCUACGCCUAUAUCCUUCUCGUUAUCCGAAUGGAUUUACCCUGGUUGCUUUCAUAGGUACUCUUCUAUCAGGAAAUGCUCGCUCUUGGUUUGCUCCACUAUUGGAGAAGGAUUCUCCAAUAUUGUACGACCUAGAGGCUUUCAUAGAGAGACUUACUGCUGCGUUUGGAGAUAGCGAUCUAGAAAGAGUGGCUGAAAGAAAGAUACAAAAUCUGCGACAAGGAUCACGUUCUGCUGCAAUCUAUGCUGCAGAAUUUCAAUAGCUUACAUGUGAUCUUGAUUGGAAUGAUAAGGCGUUCAUGACACGAUUUCGAUAUGGAUUGAGAGAUGAUGUCAGGAACUUAUUGAUCACCAUGCCUAAGGCAGAUACUUUAGAAGAACUUAUAUCUCAGGCAAUUAUUUGUGACAACCGCCUCUUUGAAUUACGACAAGAAAGACGAUCAAGCUGGAGAAAUGAUGGAGUAUUUGCUACAUUUUCAAAAGGUCCAGAGAAACACUCCACAGAUCCUGAACCCAUGCAAAUUGAUGCGGUACGUUUCAAAUCCUUCACAGAUGAGGAAAGGAAGCGACGGUUUGAACAAAACUUGUGUUUAUAUUGCGGAGAAGCGGGCCAUAAAGCUGUAGAUUGUCGGAAGAAACAGAAGCCUCAAACAACAAGACUCAGGAGUACAAGCAUGCAGGAAAACAAGGACGCCCAGCCACAAUAGGGACCGUACGGCUGGACAUCUCAACAUCCAAAAUUAAUUAAGGUCCCUUUCUCUCAGCUCAACCUUCAGAUUGUUUUAUGGUACCUUUACAUGUGGGUAUUCAAGAACUACAAGUUGAUGCUUUAUUAGACUCGGGUGCAUCCGCUUGCUUUAUAGAUGAAGAGUUUGCCAAGCUUCUCAAUAUUUCUCUUGUAAAGAAACUUAAGCCUGUCCAUGUAGAAGUCAUAGACGGACGACCAUUGUCUUCGGGCAAUGUUAUCCAUGAAACUAAACCAUUGAAGGUACGUCUUGAAAACCAUGAGAGCAAUAUUGUGUUUAAUGUUAUCAAGACCCCUUCAUGUCCUAUCAUUUUGGGACUAUCUUGGCUUGAUAGAUAUAAUCCAUUGAUAGAUUGGAAGUUGCGGAAAGUGACAUUUCCAACAAACUCCUUGAAGGUGGAAUCUGCCAAGACAAUGUCUAGAAACAAAUCCUUGUUUAUAGGUGCAAGGACUUUCAUGAAGGAAGCCAAGCAAAAUACACCUCUUGUCAUCUUCGCAAUUCCGACUCGAGAAGAUGCAACUCCGACUUUGGUUAUUCCAAAGCAGUAUGAAGAAUUCAAAGAUGUCUUUGAAAAGAAGAAUGCUGAUAUGCUGCCAGAGCAUCGACCCUAUGACUGUGCCAUUGAAUUGCAAGAAGGAGCACAACCACCUUUUGGACCAAUCUACAAUUUGUCGCAGACGGAGUUGACUGAGUUACGGAAGUACAUUGACGAGAAUCUAGCCAAGAACUUCAUCCGUCAUUCGAAGUCGCCAGUUGGGGCACCAAUCUUAUUUGUGAAGAAGAAGGAUGAUUCACUACGGAUAUGCGUGGACUAUCGAGGUCUCAAUAAGGUGACAAAAAAGAAUCGCUACCCACUGCCUUUGAUCUCUGGUCUUCUAGAACAACUUGGGCGUGCAAGGAUCUUUACAAAGAUUGACCUAAGGGGAGCUUACAACCUUGUGCGAAUUAAGGAAGGAGAUGAAUGGAAGACAGCGUUCCGAACAAGGUAUGGCCAUUUUGAAUACAAUGUCAUGCCAUUUGGUCUUACUAAUGCUCCAGCGGUCUUUCAACACAUGAUGAAUGACAUCUUUCGAGAGCAUCUAGACGAUUUUGUUGUCAUCUAUCUAGAUGAUAUUUUGAUAUUUUCUAAGAACGAGGAAGAACAUGAGAAGCACGUUCGUCUGGUACUCAAAAAACUACGGGAGCGAGGACUCUAUGCCAAAUUGGAGAAGUGCUUAUUUCACCAAACUGAGAUGGAGUUUUUGGGAUUCAUCGCGACUACGGAAGGCUUGAAGAUGGAUCCAAAGAAGGUGGAAGCAAUCAUGUCUUGGGAAGUUUCGAAGACGGUUAGAGACGUACAAUGUUUUCUUGGAUUUGCUAACUACUAUCGGAUCUUCAUCAAGAAUUAUUCUCAAGUUGCUGCCCCCUUCACUCGGUUAACGUGUAAGGACAAGCUCGAAUGGGGACCUAUUGCACAAAAAGCAUUUCAAGAUUUGAAGUUGGUAUUUACUACAGCUCCAAUCUUGGUACAUCCGGACUUUACAAAGGCCUUUUAUUUGGAGACAGAUGCUUCGGAUUUUGCUUUGGGAGCUGUACUUUCACAGAUGGGCGUAGAUGAGAAGCUCCAUCCAGUUGCGUUCUAUUCUCGAAAAUUCUCUGCUGCUGAGAUCAACUAUGAGAUCCACGAUAAGGAACUCCUUGCUAUAGUAGAUUCUUUCCAAGAGUGGCGUCACUUUCUCGAAAGAACUGCACAUCCAGUGACCGUAUAUACGGAUCACAAGAAUUUGGAGUAUUUUAUGUCGGCUCGGGUUUUGAAUCGGCGUCAAGCUCGAUGGAGUAUGUCGCUAUCCAGGUUCGACUUUGUUAUUACUUAUCGGCCUGGGAAGCAACAAGGGUUGUCUGAUGCAUUAUCAAGGAGAUCAUAUCUCGCGCCAAAGGCUGGAGAUGCAGCAUUUGAUCAACAGUGCACGACAUUGUUGAAGCCAAAGAAAUUUCGGCUCAACGCAGCUAUUGUACCAAUUGAUGCUGACUUCCUCGACCAGGUACGGGCCGCAACCAUUGAAGAUUCUCUAGCCCUUGAUAUCAAGCAAUAUGCUAGUGAUGAUAAAUUCAAGAUCUAGUAUAUUUCGAAGAGCGGUUGUAUAUCCCAAAAGGGCCAACACGACUCCGAGUUCUUCAAUCUCGUCAUGACUUUCCAACUGCGGGACAUUUUGGAUUCAAUAAGACCUUGGAACUUAUUUCCCGCGAUUUCUGGUGGCCUCAAAUAUGGAAGGAUGUGAAAGAUUUUGUUGUAUCUUGUGACAUUUGUUCAAGAUCCAAAAAUCCUCGACAUCGGCCUUAUGGACUUCUACAGCCAUUGCCUAUUCCGCGUCGACCAUGGUCUUCGGUUUCCAUGGACUUUAUUAUGGAUCUACCACCAUCGAAUUCAUUUGACACCAUUUUUGUUGUCGUAGACCGGCUUACAAAGAUGGCGCAUUUUGUCCCUUGCAAGAAGACAUCGUCAAGCGAAGACACAUUAAGACUCUUUCUUGAUAAUGUGUAUUGAUAUCAUGGUCUACCAGAUGAUAUCGUAUUGGAUCGAGGAACUCAGUUUGUAUCAAAGUUUUGGAAAUUUCUUUUUGAAAUAUUGAAGGUGGAUAUCAAGCUUUCUUCGGCAUUUCAUCCUCAAACGGACGGCCAAACAGAACGGGUGAAUCAAGUUUUAGAGCAAUAUUUACGUUGCAUCAUCAACUAUCAACAAGAUGAUUGGACCGCAUAUCUACCGCUAGCCGAGUUCGCAUAUAACAACACCCUUCAUGCGUCAACUCAACAAACGCCAUUCUUUUCCAAUUAUGGAUACCAUCCGAAGCUUGACUUAUGGAGUUCGUCAACGAUUAACAAUCCGGCAGCUGAAGGAUUGGUGAAGGAGCUUUCGCAGCUUCAAACUACAUUGAAGCUUCAAUUGCAAACUGCCCAAGAAUCUUACAAGGCGUCCGCGGAUAAAUUUCGGAAUCAGACACCUAAAUUCACGAUUGGAGACAAAGUUUGGCUGCUUCGACGAAAUAUUAAGAUCAAGCGGCGAUGUGACAAAUUGGACUAUCGGAGAUUGGGACCAUUUGUUAUCCAGAAGCAGAUCAAUCCUGUAGCGUAUCGUCUGGAGUUACCAGCUACUAUGAAGGUACAUCCUAUCUUUCAUGUUUCUUUGUUGGAGCCUUAUCGAGAAUCGUCUUUUCCUGGAAGAGUACAAUGUCCACCACCUAGCAUAGAAAUAGAGAACCACAAAGAAUACGAGGUGGAAAAGGUCCUGGAUUCACGGCAAAGAAGGGGUAAAUUAGAAUACUUUGUGCAUUGGAGCGGUUACGAUAUUAAUGAACGAACAUGGGAGCCGGUCAAAAAUCUUGCGAAUGCGCCGCAAAAGGUACAGGAGUUUCAUCGACGAUAUCCUGAGAAAUCCAAGCCGGUUCGACGAUAGCUUCUUACUGAAGCUUGCUCAUCCAGAAAACAGAAAAGAGGAGAGAGCACCACCAAAAUCCAUAGUUGAUGUAGUCAUUCUCUCCAAGAUAGCGUAGAACUUUGUUAGUAGCCCAAAUUUGUUCUUAUUGUUUUAGCCUUUGAAUAUGGAUAGCCAAGAUACUACACUUGUCAUGUCAUCUCAAGCAACUAGCUCACGAAGACGACCGCGAGAUGAAGAACCGCUUGCACCACGACGACGUCGAAGGAUUCUGAGAAACAGAUCGCUGGUGAUUGUAUUUGAGGUCGAGCCUGCCUACAAUGGUCAGCUAGAAGGAGUGUUUGUAGGACAAUUUCACAAUGAAGACACGGAGGUUCAUGCUUGGUCAGAGGUUGAAGGCGUGGGCCACUACCGUUGGCUUCAAGGACCAUUGAAUCACUUGCCUCGUGAACAACAAUUGGAGUUUAUAGCAGAGGUUAUGCGACAGAUCUUCAUUUUCUUGCGUUGGUAUUGACUGACGAUAACAUUGCUUCUCGGAGACCUCGAAGCUAAAGGAGGAGGUGAUGUUAGGGACAUAGUCCUUAGAUCUUUCUAGAGACAAGUUUCUACAACCUUCUAGAAAGAAGUCUCUAGAAACUUCCAGAAGAUUCCUUGAAUAUUCUCUUAGAAUAUUCUUUAAAGAUUCCCUAAAGAUUCUUUGAAGAUUCCCUUAGAAGCCUCUAAAAGAUUCUUAGAAUAUUCUAGUAGAUUCUAGGAAGUUACUUGAGAAGCUUCUUAGCUCUUGGGUAGUUGCUCGAGAAGCUUUAUAGUUCUUGGGAAGCUUCUUGAUGCGCUUCCUUAGAACCAUAGGCCAGUAGUAUAUAUAGGAGUCGAGGCUGAAGAGUUCUUCAGUCUCGACAACACACCUCUUGAAGCUCUAGCUCAAUUCUCUUGGCAUUGCUCUUGUACUCAUCUGAUAAUCUAGUUCUUGUCAUUUCUUCUUGAACUUCUUGUUUAGAUUUCUUGUUUGUAUUUUUGGUCCGUGACAGUACUCCAAAUACAAACUUCAUAUCCGAUAAUGUAAGAUGAAAUUCUCCAAGCCGAGUUAAAAACUUUUCAUAAUCUUGUAUAUGAUCAACAACAUAUUUGCGACACCCCCUCGUAUCUAAAGUUUCAUCCUUGUCUCCUUCUCUGCACCCUUUUAUAGGAACAUCAUCCAGAAAAGGCAUAGUCUUUUCCGGAAUAAAAUCUCUGAAUACCUUAUUCAUCCCAUUCAUCAUAUGCGCAACUGAGUUAGUCACGCCUUGAGGAAGAAUUCACAUUCUAACCAAUCCAAGUGGUGUCCUCAUUGUUGUCAUAUCUCUACUUCCUUCGGCAAGUUGAAAUUGAUCAUAACGUGAAUACAAGUCACCCAUUGAAUAGAUCGCCCUUCCAGCAAACACCUCAGUAAAUUCAUCCACAAUAGGUCCAAUUCCUGCAUUUCUGGCAGUUACUGCAUUCACCGGUUGCAUAUCUUGAAUAAACCGUAGUGACCCAUUCUUCUUAGGUACCGUAAACCAUCGAUUAGAAUACGGCGCAAAUGAAGGUUCCAAUAUUUUCAUCUUUAUCUUUUCUUUUAAUAGUUCCACCAAUUUAGGUAAAUGUGCCCUCGGUACUGGAAUCGGUCUUAGAUUCCAAGGUACAUGCGGUACAGUGAAGAUAACCAUAGGUGUUACAAUAUUUGGAUCCACACACUCAAUUUCAUGAGAUUUGAAGGCAAACAAUCUACCUUGCUUAGCCAACAUCUUUUUGAAGCAAGUAAUUUCCUUCGGUAAUAAAGAACCAACAGAACCAAUCUUCAAUUCUUCAAAAGUCUCUCUAGUAAACUCGUGUCCAAUACUCAUUGGAUCUCUUAAACUUGCUUCUUUUGAUGCUUCUCCUAUUUGUUCUUUAGAAUCUUCUGAUAAUGGUCCGACAACAGGCUUUACCUUCUUAUGUGCCGUUUUAUAUCUCGUCUCUACAGUGACUUCUGGUGCUUGAAAAGAUUCAAGUAUGGUAUAAACAUCUCUUGAAUGAAUCUCAACAAUCUUAUCAUUAUCCCCUAACCCAAUAGAUGUAAUCAAUUCCAAUGAAUCUUCCAGUCCAUUUUCUUCAUAAACACCUAAAAUCCUCUCAUCAUCUUGCAAUGUACCUAACUUGCAUAAUUGUCCUUCAAUAUCAUAUAAUCUUUUUCUUUCUUUUCUUUUAAAAUCAUCAACUUUCUUAUAUAUAAUAUUUCCAUUCUCCAACAUACCAAUAAAACUCGCAUCAAAGGUACCUUCAUCUCGCGAGAGUACCUCAUCUUUUGUACCUCCAUAAUCUCGCUUUACAGUGGUACCUCUCCAAAAUCCUUAAAUCCUUCAAUAAUCUUUGGCAAUGGUUUCUCCCUCAACCUAUCUCGAUUCCGUUCAUAGUUAGGAGGUACUGUUAGAAAUUGUACAGCUUUCCUCCCAUCUUCGCUCCGUACCCUUGCAUAAGUGGAACCAUCGUCAAAUACUUUUGUUUCCAUCCGUGUUGCCGUGAUAUAAGGUUGUCCUAAAAUCAAUGGAUAAGACGUUGUCUUGAACAAAGAAAUGUUGCUCCGUCGCAACAUCCCCAAUCCAAAUUUUGACAUCUGGACAAGCUCCAUAUAAUUCGCCCCGUGUGUUAUUAGCUGCUCGAAUUGCCCAUCCAUGUUCCAUAUCAAUUGGCCAUUUUUGCUUUUUAUAAAGAUCUUUAGACAUGAGAUUUAUUUCAGAACCAUGGUCGACUAAAGCAACUAUUGGUUCUUCUAUAUCUCCUACUUUCACCAAUACCUCAGUAGUUGCGCUUGCCCAAUGUUUCCGAGUAUAAUGGCUCAAAGUUCCCAUUUCCUUGUUACUAGAAUCUUCGAAACGUACUCGUUGAUUAUACCCAUUCUUUUCAUUUGUUGAUUGCUUGUAUCCAAUAUCAACCUCUUUUUCAUCUUUAUAUAUUCUUGCAUCAAUAGCAUGACUCAUUCCAGUUUCGCCCAUUAAUUACCUCUUUCGCUUAAUGCUGUCAAUGAUGACAUCAUGAAACUCCUUCUUUGCAAUUCCCAAGACUUCUUUCAAUGUGAAUUCCACCUUAGCGUUUAAUAUACGUUCUUCCAACACCCCUUUCAAAUUUGUUGCCGCUUCAAUGUCAGAAAGUAGCUUAUAAGCAAUUGAUUUGUCUUUAUCUUUUGUCUCUUUUGUUUUUUCUCCCAAUGAUGCUGAGGUAUCCUUUGCAGGCAAUUCUUGUGAAGCUGCCUCCCGAGCCUUGUCUCCUCGAGUUUGCCUCUUAGAAGAAUUUCCUUCUCUAGUAUCAUCAAAAUUUCCUCGUCUCUUUUCUUCCAUCAAAGCUUCAUGUUGGCUCUUAGCAAUAUAUGCAUGAACUGAAAGAGUCUCAACAAGAUCCUCCCAACUUGUUCUACCUCGUAUUGUAGCUGAAGUCCUCAAUAAUGCUUCUCGAGGUAAUUUCCCUUCUUGCAUUGUAGAAACGGCAGGAGUCCAAAACUCACUAGUUUUCGUACUUCCACCAAUUUCAUCAUCUACUCUAGCACCAUAACUUGCACUUUCUCGUGCUGCUGUUUCAUGCUCUUUUAGGUAAUCUUGAACCAAUGCUCUCAUUCUUCCCUUGCCAAAAUUGGUUUGAAGAAGAUCCUCUCUAUUUUUUAAUGCUAUCUUUCCAUCUUUUCAGCAAAUAAUUCCCUGUCGUAUCAUAUUAUUAAAUUCAUUGCAAUCUUUUCUAGUGUGUGAAGCAUCAUCACACCAAAUGCAUCUUUGUACAUAUCCUUGUUUUGAAACAUUCUCCGAAUUGUUUAUAGAAGUAUUUUCUUCAAGUCUUGCCAAUUUGAUUUGAAGAUCUCGCAUUCCUCGUAUAAUUUCUUCCAUCUCCAUAUUUGCUUUCUUUGAUACGGAUGUCGAAGGUUGAACUGUAAGCAUCGUUGGUGGUGUUGUACGUACUGGAGCUUCGAGUGCUUGUACUGUUUUCUGAAUAUUACUCCUAUCUUUCCUCCUUUCUCUUUUUGUAAGCAACCCCACCGCAUCUUCAACGUUCUUCCACUUUGUUGUCAAUCCUUCAUCUUCCUUUGUCUUUAAGAAGAAGUUUUAAUUUCCCUUGCAAUUCUCCAUCAGCAGCUUGAAGAAAUAGAUUAACUUUGUUCGGCUCCAAUGUCUAUUUUUCUACCUUCGACAAUUGAGAGUAUUGCCUCUCAAAUUCCCUUAGUAGCUCUGUUGCUUGCAAAUUCUUAUUAGGCCGUUCAAUCCAUUCCAGAAACAGCUUCUUAAUAACGCGAUCAGCAUCUUCCAAGAAAUAUUCGUCUUUCAAUGCAUGUGAAAAAAUCUCCCAUGAAUUCCCAUAACGAUCCGUAAUCGAUGUAAUGUGGUCUGUUAUCUCCGUUAUCGUGGCAAGUCCAAAUAGUGCAACCAUUUUCUUCUCAGAAACCCGAUUUAAUUCCAUUUCACGAACAUAACAUCUUAAAUACCUUGAAAUAUUCCUCCCAUCAAAUUGAUCAAUUUUAUUGACCACUGCUUGCAAUGCUUUGGUUGCCAAAGCUUCCUUUCGAUCAUUGCUUUGCUGUUGCUGCAUUGACAAUGAGAAGGCUUGAAAUUUACUAGCAAUAGAUGGAUCCAUGUGCAUAUCUUGUCCUUUAGAAGAAUCCCCACCAGAAACUCCUCCCAAAAAUCCUUCAAAAUUUUUAUUUUUGUUUUCCAUAAAAUAUAGAUAAAAUCAACCGAAAUCUAAUACCUUCUACCUCAAGCUUUCACGUCUGGUUCAUCAAUUUUGUCGUAUUACGUGCUUUCUUGCUCAAGAACGCGUCGGGCGUCUGGCUGUAGAAGGUAGUAUGGAGAUUCGCCAAUAGUCAAGCAGUCUAUCAGUUUUUGACUACUGGAAUAUAAACGACUGCAAGAAUACAAUGUAAAUCUAUACAGAUGCCCUUCGACUGCUUGUCGAAGUCCUUUUUGCCCCAGCCGGUAGGUCUCUAGACGUUACAAAGAAUCCCGAACAACCCAAUCAGCUAAUCUCCGAUACCGCUUUGUACUUACGAUCUUGUAUCCACUGAUUGUCUUAUUAGAUUAACCCAAUAAAUUUCAUUCACUCCGCAUACUCAAUCCUAUAGACACCCUUUUAAGCCUUCAAUCACAGACGUAACUCGAUUUCACAAAAUAAUCAAGAGUAAUCAAAUCCACUUCAUUAAAAAAUCCCGAUUCACCAUUACAACACUGACUUCAGCAAUGAUUGCCUCAGUCUUCCCAAAACUCUAUGAAGAAGAAAAAUCCAAUUCUCCAUCUUUUCUUUCCCGACCCGAAGCAUAAAGCUCUUCUCCAAUCCCCUUGAUCUUCAAAAACCUCCAAUGAAAAUGAACUAGUAACCUUAAAAAGAGCUUGAAGCUAGCUCUCCGAUCCAAAAAAAAACCCCCCUCAAACUUAUUCUCCUCCUAACCUUAUCCUCUGAAUUUCUUCAAUCUUCCGUCUUGGAUUCGGAAUUGGCUCCCAUCGUCAAAGCUUUAAUCCAAAAUUGGCUCCCGCCGUCAGAGCUUUCUCCUCCGUUUUUACCUUUAAGAGAUCCAUUUACUGAAAACAACCUUCCUUGAAACAGCACAGAGAAUAGGACAGCCUGAAACAGAAUCGAAACCCCGUACUCGGGUCUACAUUGAGUCGCCCGAUCAAUUCAGGUCUCAUAUUGGAUAAGAGUCCAGUACUAAGACCUGGAUUUUCCCGUAAUUAGACUGCAUUGGGUUGCCCGACCAAUGUAGGUCUCAUAUUGGAUACGAUGUCCGUAGUAACCUGGAUGUUCCCAUAAUUAGACUGCAUUGGGUUGCCCGACCAAUGCAGGUCUCAUAUUGGGUAAGAGGACCCGGAUUGGAUUCUCGAAAUUGGAUCCAAUUGGCUCUUCAAACCAGGCUCACCCGUCGCGUGAAUUGGUCCUUUCCCUUCCUGCUGAUUCACGUUAUUUGAAUCGAACGGAGCAUUUCAGUAUGCCUCGGCUGACUAUAACGGGGUGACUGAACCUAACCACUCAGUAUUUGCACUGGAGUUGGUCGUUGCUCCCAAUAUUCGAGGUAACUGAAUAUUAAUAAAAGUCCCCUUUCUUUAUAUUUUCACGGUAUACUCGUGUUACAACAUGACAUCAGUAUAAUCUUAACUGCCUCACCACAAAACGGUGUCGGGAUAGAGAGAGUUUGCCUUAAGAAAACGCUGGGCUUCUGGUUGUCACUAAUUAUUCAAUCAAGCUUAAAAAUAAGGGAAGCACUUAGUUUAUAUAUAAUUUUUUCCUUUUGAGUAAUUACACCAAAUGCACAAUCCUCAAGUAACCCACAACUUCCAAAAUAUGAUAAAAUCUUCUAAAACCUAUUUAUUCUUAUGUGGAGAUUUUUCCGAACUUCAACACCUCAUAUCUCCUUAUCCGACCGUCCAAACAAACUCAAAUUUUAUUCGAGGUACUGAUGUAUUCUUAUUAACUUGUACAAAAAAUUUCAACCGCAAAUUCGUUGCAAAUCUUGAGAUAUCUUGAAAACCCUAACAAUCACUCCAAACCUUUGUUUUUAGACACAUGCGUGCAAUUUUCUUCAUAUCUCAUAAAGUAUAAGCUCAAAUGCCACGAAAUUUGUAUGUAUAGUUUUUUUACAAAAAAAUUUACAUUCUCCAAAAGUUUGAGGUAAAAAUUCAUCCGAAUACUUAAGUUAUGACUCCAACCAUUACUACAAACAAAACCGCUUACUUACUGCCUUUGAUUUGGAAGUGCUGCCUUCAACUCCUUACAACUCCUUCAUAUGGACUCCAAAAGUAUUAAUUAUUUUGUGAAAGAUGUAGGCCUUGAAAUCGCUGUUUUAGUUGCACCUUCCGAUCUUCAAAAGUUGCUGUAAAACUCCUCGUACUCUCAAAAGAGUAACAGUAUAUCUUAAAUAAACACCUUAACUUCAAACGGCUAUAUCUUUUUUACCCUAAUUCCAAAUCCUCUAAUUUUUGUACACAAAUUGUACUCCAAACCCUAAACUUUAUGACCCUAGCUUUUAAUCUCCAAAUGCUCUCUUUGAAGUUUCUGAAACCCUUCUUAAGGUCCUAGGCAACCUCCUCAAAGGGUAUUCGACCAAUAGGGAUGAAGUUCUCCAUUCCUUGCCUUCAUCCGAACAUGCCUUGCUUUCAUCCCUUUCAAUUAGCUUCUUACUAGUUUAGAUUUUCAUCCUUAGGUUUCCACCUUCUCCCAAGGCUUCAUAAUAAAGAUUUAGGUCUUAUAUAUAUAUAUAUAUAUUAAUAUCAAAAUCAAAAGAAGUAAAGAAACAAAGUAAAGUUUCUUAUACCAACUCCUUUUAAUUUAAUCUACUAGCCACUCUAACACACAUCUAGAUUUAACAACAUAUAAUAUGUUUUAAGUAAUUUUUACAUAUUGUAAGUAUUUACAGUACGACACCGUUUGUCACAUCCGUCCCUGUUGACACAUUAAUAACUACUAACUAUCCUUUCAGUCACCUUUACACCCUAACGCACUUAUACCAUAAUUAGGUCUACCCUGUGUCCCUUCGAAGUCACUCCCCUAAAAAAAAAUGAAAACCCGUCUCGAAUUUUAUGUAUUAUAUAACCGUAAUCGGUUCCCGUUAAUGUGGGUACUAAAUCGAUGGGCCAUGAAAUCCUCCAAUUGAACAAAUCCAUCGGAAAAACCCUCAACCAUGCAGUACAGCCUAUACCAACAAACUUGAAAUUUGCUCGAAAAAUGAUUAAAUCGGCUAUCAUACAGUAAUAUCAAAUCAUUGGACAUAAAAGUUUUUGGAUGCAGUUUACUAUCAUAGUAACUCUUCCUCCGUUUUUGAAUCGCUUCCAUGUUGAAAAGAGCUGUAGCUCAUAUUUCAUCCAAUUUUACUAACCGAGAAUGUAAUCACUCUCUGUCAUUGAGUUGUUCAUCUAAGGCAAUCCAUAAACUUUGAACCUCCAAUUCGAUGGAUAAAAUUGCCUCUUGAUCAUAAAUUAGUUGAAACGGAGUAGAGUUGGUAGUUACUUUAUAUGCGGUACAAUAUGCCCACAAAGCUGUAAAGAGUUUGAUCUCCCAAUCGAUACCCACCCCCAAAAUUGUCUUAGUCAAGACCUUGCUUAAAAUUCCAUUGAUCUUUUUCAUUUGUCCAUUAACGCGAGGAUGAUAUGUAGUGGUUUUUCGUUGCUUAAUCUCAUAUGUGUUCCUCAAGGCUGCUAUGGUAGCAUUGAAGAAAUGGGUGCUGCAAUUGCUAACCAAUUUCUUCGGACAUCCAAAUCGAGUUAUAAUAUUCUCGUAUAGAAAAGUAGCCAUCGUAUUGGCAUUAUCAUUGCGUGUAGCAAUAGCCUCUGCCUAUUUUGUUACAUAGUCCAUGGCGACUAAAAUAUAUCGCUUCUGGCUAGGUUUUGACAUUGGUGUGAUAGGACCAACAAAAUCAAUAUCCCAUUUUUUGAACAGUGCUUGUGCCAAGAUUGGAACUAACGGCAUGGUGGAAGUGCCCGUGGGUCGACCAAUUCAUGGACAGGGAUCGCAACGACAAGCAAAUUGGUGCACAUUAGAAAACAUUGUAGGCCAUUAAUAUCUGGCCAUUAAAGCCUUGCAAGGAGUACUAUCCUCCACGAAAUGACCACCACAACUAUCCAAAUGGCAACCUUCUAGGAUCGACUGUACUUCACUUGGAAAGAUACAAUGUCAUAAAAUGCCAUCUUUGCCUUGUUUAUACAAAGCUUCAUGAAUCAUCGUGUAUGGAACACUCUUUAGAAUGAGUCACUUCUUAAGCUUCUCGAUGAAAGUUGGCAGAAAGGUGUGGAAGGUCAAAAACUGAAUGAUUUCAUUAUACUCAGAGGAAAUUACAUCCACCACAAAUAAUUUGGUAUCGGAAAGAAUAUUCGGGACAUACUCGUUGCCAAAAAUAUUAGACAACCAGGAUAAAUGAUCAGCAUUGGCAUGUUUCUUCCCAGGUCGUACGACAAUCAUAAAAUUGAACUCUUAUAAGAGUAAGACCCAUUGAGCAAUGCGCCCAUUCAAAUGAGGCUUACUAAUUAUGUAUUUGAGGGCAUGAUGAUCCACAUAAAAUACAAACAGAUACCGAAGCAAAUAGUACCAAAAUUUUUGAACCGAAUAUAUCAUAUCUAACGCUUCUCAUUGAGUAGUAGUAUAAUUAUGUUCAGCAGCUAUCAAUUGCUGACUAAGAUAAUAGAUAGGAUGAUCGAGAUCUUUGACAUCCUUCUAACUUAACACCGAUCUAAUAGCCACAUUGGAUGCAUCAAUGUACAUAUGAAAGGGCUCCGUCCAACGAGGGGCCACCAAUAUUGGUGUAGAGACCAAUUUUGACUUCAACGCUUCAAAGGCCACGGUACACUCCAUGGUCCAGAUGGGACUAGUCCUAUUUGAUGGAAGUUUCUUCAGUAAGUUCAUUAAAGGUUGAGAAAUAACUAUGAAGAAACGAAUGAAUCUUCGAUAAUAAUUGACAUGGCCCACAAAUCCAUGAACACAGGAGACCAUCUCUAGUUUGGGCAAGUUCAUGAUAUGCUUCACUUUGUCAGGAUUCGUAGCAAUACCACGGCUGGAGAUGAUAUGUUACAAUAAUUUUUCUGACGGAAUACCAAAUUGACACUUAUCCGAGUUCAACAAUAUCCCAAACUUAGCGCACUGAGCUAAACAUUUGCCUAGACAAUUAAGAUGAUCUUGUUUGAUACUGAAUGCACAAAAGUCAUGUAAAAAGAUCUCCAUAAACAGUAGAAGAUAGUCUUGGAAGGCCUGAGUCAUGACUCUCUGAAAUGUAGCUGGGGCGUUGCAUAAUCCAAAAGGCAUCACGGGAUAAGCACAUGUACUCCAAUCCAUAGUAAAGGUCAUCUUAAGCUGGUCUUUCAUUAUAAUUUGAACUUGAUUAUAUCUGGAAAAUCCAUCGAGGAACAAAUAACAUUUGUGAUCGGUUACGGGGUCUAAUAUACUAUUUGUGAAAGGCAACGAAAAAUAAUCCUUCUCGGUGGCCGCAUUAAGUUUUCAAAAAUCUUGACAAAUGUAGAUUUUUCCAUUCUUUUUUGGCACCAUGAUGAUUGAAAAAAUCCACUUGCUAUUCGGUACCGGAUAAAUAAAACCAACCAUAAGAAGCUUGUCGAAUUCCUCCUUCACCAUGAGAGAACAUUUAGGAUUAAGACAAUGUUACCUUUGUCGUACAAGUUUAGCAUUCUCCUCUAAAAUGAUACGAUGCUCAGAGACGUCAGCAAGACUAUCCUUUAAAUCAGCAUAAGUCUAAGCAAAAGCGGACUUAUGAUGCAAGAAAAAUUUUGUCCAACAAGUCAACUCCUGCUCCUUAAUACCUUCGUAGACCUUAAUUAUUCGAGAUUCUGCUGUGCUCACCAAGUUGAUAGUUUGACAUAAAGAUGUAGCAGCAAUGUUCUGUUUCAACUUCCGCUCUGGUUGAAAAUCAGUCGAUAAGUCCAACAUGUGUGAAGUACUGAAUCCUGUGUCCAGAGUACUCACAUGGUGCACAUCAUACUUGGUCAUCCAAUCAAUACUAACAUACUCAGAUUUUUUUAAAUCCAUCGAAUAUAUCAAGUACUGCCCCGGACCUCCACAUUGGUACACCACUCUAGGAUGUUGCGCUGCCUCUAUAGGCGCCUUCGUAAUUGAUGUGACUAUGUCAUCAUCGGAGCUAAGCUCAUUGUCCGACGUCAAUUCAAAUGCUGGCAAUUGAGACUCCCCGUGAUAGCGUAUUGGAUAUAUUUGUAAUACUAUUUUACCGUCGCCCUUACCAAUUAUCAAAGUACCCUGACCCUAAUCGUUCUUGGCCUUUGUUUGAUAAAGAAAGGAUUGUCCCAAUAAAAUUGGAUACGAUAAAGUCUAACGUUAUAGCCGAAAGAUAAUAUAGUCAAUUGUAUAUGCAAUACCAACAAUUAUAAUUUGAAUACUCUGUAAAAUAUCCAUUGAUUUAACCCGGCUAUGAUCUGCUAUCCAUAAUACCAAUGUUGUCGGUACUAAGUGAUUCAAAUCUAAAACAUCCAUUGUAUUAACAUUCAUUAAAUUGACGUUGGAACCACCAUCCACCUGAACGCCCGAGAAUAUAACACCAUCAAUUGAAACAUCGAUGGAUGGUGCACCUAGAUUAGGAUUCAAACUAACUUCACAUACUUCCUUAUUACAUUGUCAAUGCUGUGUUAACGAUGAAUUCAAUGUAGAACAGCACUCUGGUGCAACUGCUAGAAGUUGCUUCAUAGAAAUAAAAGGCUGAAUAGCAUCUAGAUCCUUCAAAAUGUCAUAGGGUUUCAUAUUUAGGGUAAUGCCUAAUGCCCUCUUUCUUUUCAUUGGUUGGAGUUUAACUCCAUGGGAUAGGAUAUUCUUCUAUCCUAGACUCAGAAUUGGAACAGCAGAUGGAGUUUCUUUGAAAUUCACACCUCCUAGAGGAUCUUUCAUCGAAAAAGAUAUUUCCCAAAACUGUGUAAAGAAUGGAACAGAUUGAAACGGAACCGAAGACUCCAUAAUCGGUACCUCAUUAGAUUGCCCAACCGAGUCAGGUCUCAUUCUGGAUAAGAGGCCCAUAAUAGGACCUGGAUUAGAUGUCCCCGUAAUUGAGUCCAAUUGGCCCUUUCCAUCAGGUUCACCCAAAUGUUGAAUUGGUCCUUUCGUCUUUUUGUUAACUCAUGGUAAGAACAACUUGGACACAUUCUAUCCAAUUUACUGGAGAAUCUUUAAGACCUUGAUUUAUCUCUUCUAUUUUUCCUUGGCUUUGGAUCUGGUGAUCUCGAUUAUUGAAAUUGAAUAGAGCAUUACAUUGCUGAUAAGUAUGCCCUCACUGCUUAUAAUUCCCACAAAUUGGUGCAUAAUCGUCACUAGCUCUAGGAUUGGAACAUUCAAUGGCAUAAUGAUCAAUCUGUUUGUAACAAAAAUAACGAAGUGGUCUUCUUAUAUCCCCAUCAAGCAUAUUGGGUGUCUCCACUGAUAUAUACCUAUUAGGCUUGUUCCAUGUAGGGUUAAAAAAUGAUCUUGGUUGUCUCUUUGGAACGGAGGGUAUUUGGUUCGAUGACACUGGAGGAGCAUAUUGCAGAUACCUCUACUGCUCCUUCUCGUAGUGCUGGGAGUUUGAUGCAGAUCUCUGAUUAAAAUUGGAACUUUGAAAGUUAUUAAAUGUUCGAUUUUAUUGAUUAGAUCAAUUUCCAUUCCAUCCAAAUGUAUUUCUCGAUUGAACUUGAUUGACGUCUUAGUAAAUUGGUGGGAUCAUAGUCUGAUUACCAAAUUGUUGUUGCUUUUGCAAAUUCUAAUAAUUUGCUGUUAAGUACUUUCCUUCGCAAAAUGUACAUUGAUCCAUCAUUUGUGAGGGUAAAGGGUAUUCUGUUACCAAAUGACCAUAGCCCUUACAAUUAUUGCACCAAACAUUGGUCCUAGUAUUGGUAGGCUUUUGCCUCUUCUCUUUAUCCUAAGCCAUAUUGACAGCCAUUUCUUCCAUUUUCUUUGUCAGGUUCAACAACAAGGCUUCAUUGGAAUAUUUUAGGGAUGGUAUUAUUGGUAACUCUGUCUCAGUUAAUGCUUGUUAUUGAUACAGAAAAUAGGGAGCAUACAUUGUUGUCACAUUCGGUGGUAUAGCUUGUAAUGGGGUGACAUUAAUUGGCUCCUGAAUAUUGACAAAAGAAUUUGUCCUUGUAUCUAACAUCCAUGGAUAAUUACUUAUUGAUCUAUUCCAAGUCGGAUUUUGAUAACUGCCUUGAACUGGAAUCAUCAUAGCUCCCGCAGUUAAAAACUGAUCAUAAUGAAAUUCCUCUCAAACCUUGGCUCUAUUAAGGGAUGCAAUUACUAUAACGGGUUGCGCUUCCUUCACAAACAUUUUUAGGUCCGAUAGGUGCAAUCCGUUGAUUACUAUGGACAACACAAAAGUCUAUGGCAUUUGGUGAUUUGGCCAUUUGCGGAAUAUAUUUGCCACACAGCCAUAAUACGAUUCCACUACCUCUCUUGGACCCAUUUUGCUAGUCAUUAAUCUUUCUUGAAGUCGAUUCUCAAAACCAAUUGGGUGAAAAUAGAUUAAAAAUAUAUUCUUCAAUGCUUUCCAAUUCAGAAAUUGAUCCACUGGUUGGUAAUUGCAUCAUUCAAAUGCCAUGUCCUUUAAAGUUGCUGGCAACCAUCAUAACCAAAUAUCUUUGGUUCUUCCAUUAUUGGCUACUUAUGCUUUCAAAAACUGAGACAAAUAUUGAUUGGGGUCUGCACCCAAAAAACCCCUAAAAGUAGGUAAUGGAGCCAAGCUUGUUGUGCAAUCGCUCAUAUCAUCCAUUUGUACUGCUAUUGGAACCGCUGGAUCACCCGUCGCCAUUGAAGAGGACAAUGUGCUGCUUAAUCUCUUAUUAGAAUUACCAUUGCCUUUUCUAAUUGUCUUUUUUGGACUUUUCAACCUCCUCAAUUUGCUAUUAUUAUCCUUGAAUAAGUUUAUGAGUUGAAUUGGAGGUAAAAAUGAUGGAUUUUGAAAUAGGCUGAAUUGGCCCUUAUUGACAAGUAAUUUAUGCCAUUCUACGGAACUAGUUUUCAUAAAAUCAGUAGUUUUUGCUAUUGGAAAGGUAUCCAAUAGAGUACCCAAUUCUUUUUUGUUUCCUCCACUUGCAGUUAACGAGCUCAAGAGAUACGCUGGGCGGUUGACAAAAUUUCCUACAAGUACUCUUGGUAAUUUUCUUAAUGGUAUAUAUGUCUGAAAUAUUAGAGAUCGGUCAGCUUCCGGAUAUGCUCAGAUAUGUCAACAAGCAUGCAAUCAUGGCUUAAUUUAACUUUGUCGAUGCUUCCUUUUUAACUUGCAUUCUUGCUCAUUUCACAAUGAUUCUCUUACUUGCGCUCUCUCUUGUCUUUCUUUUGACUCACCUAUUUUCUUUAGUGCAAUAUUUUCAUUCUUAAUAACCAUAAUCUUUCAUUAUAUAAUGUUGAAUUUGCUUCCUAUUUUCCAUCUACUCAUCUAGCAGUUAAUUCCUAAUACUCAAUGUUAUUGUCAAUCCCCGACAGCGACGCCAAAAUGUGAUUGUCAUUUUACUUAUUCUAUAAUUCUUUUCAAAAUAAACUUGUAUAGGAAAAUUCGAUCACAGGGAAAGACUAAGCGCAUGAGCUUUUCUUGUUAGGGUCACUCAAUUAACUAUAAUCCAAACCACUAAAAUACCAAAAAAUACUAAAAUGCUUUCUCCCAAUAAUAAUACUCCUUCAUCAAUUGAAACAACAAUGUGCAACAUUGCACUCUUAAAAGACGGUUCAAAACUCAUAAAUUCCAUCCAAUAUCAAGAAUAAUAGACUUCACUCCAAUCAAUCUGAAUUCACAAAAUUUUUGUAAUCAUAGACUUCUUCUGUCCAAAACACACACAACUCUCAAUAAACAACAAUCAUUAUCUUCCAUCCAUAAUCAAUCUUCCAAUAACUUCUCAUAUAAUUCAAUCACUCAGUAUAUCAAUUACAUAACCAAUAAUUCAUAAAUCAAUCUCUGAUUUAUUCCACAGACUCACUUUUCAGUAUUCAGAAACUAUCCAUUACUCUUCAACAACAAAAAAAACAAAGAAAAUAAAGAGGUAUCACCAAGCUUAACCUCGACUCAUGACUAUUACAGUCUGACACUCCAACAAACUUCUACAACUCCUAUAUAAUUGCUACUGAUUUCCAGAUUCUAACCGUAAUCCUAUAAUAACUACUUUUAAUAAUUGAAUCAAUCAUCCAUCCUCCUAAACUGACUAUUCUAUGGACUAUUAAUCUAUUUUACCAAUAUCUUAUAAAAAUGAACUAAUAUCUAUUCUACAUGUACUUUUAAAGGAUACCCUCCGCAUGAGUUUCAAUAGAUAAAUGAGAGGAACUUACGACAUGUGCAAGGGUUAGUCACAGCUUUUAAUAAGGAAGUUGGUGACUAUAGGAGAUCCAGGACCACAAGGAAGCAAAUCAAAACCCACUAAAAGAUAGAUUGGAUAGUUGAUUGGUUUGAUAAUUUGGAAGAGAUCAAUGAAAAGGAUGAUUAAGAAGAUGAAGACAUCUUCACUUCAAAGUGGAGGAGGGCCACAAGCCUAUAUGACUUGUAAGAAAAGAAAAUCCAUAAGCUAUAGCAUAAGGGGAAAUAUAAAAAAAAACUUGAAAAAAAAGGUGAUGAAAGUUUUCAAGAGAAGAAGAUUUUGAAAGGAUUUCAACUCGAGGGGACUUUAUAGAGAAAAACCUUAAGAAGCUUGUAUGAAGUGGAUAGAAGACUCUGAGCAACUAGGCCUAAACGGUUGGCCUUUCCUAAGUAGGUUUUAUAUUGAGUGCUAGCAAAUCACUUCCAUAUGAUAGAGAAGGGUAUUAGGGUGAGGCGGAUCCUAGUUAAGAGAUUCCACGGCCAAGACUAAGUCUAAGUAGAAAGUAAUAUUUCUAUUAUACACAUUGCGAGAUGUGAACUUUCAAAAUCCACAAAAUUGAGAAACUUAAGUAAAUUGAAGGCAAAAUGAAAUUGCACAAGAAACACGAGAAGGAGGUAGCAUCCCAUGUCAACAAAGAACUCAUAAAUCCUCAUUUACCCCUACCACCUUCUGAAGGACUAGAAGUGUGAAUGGAGGCUAGGUAGACAAAAGAGCCUUCAAGCUACAUAAGAAAGAAAGAACGAUGUAAGUGCAAAACAUCCAUUAUAAACAUUUCGUGAGAAUGGAAAAAAAAAAAUGAAUACAUCUUAUAUGUCAAUGAGGACAUUGACUCUCUAAAGUGGAGGAUGGUGUAAGGGUCUAAAGAAUCUGAUUCUUACACUUGUUGCGUUAAAAGGUAAUUGGAGCCCCGGCAAUCCCUAAGCCCAUGAGAAAGCCGUGGCUAGGUAGUGAUGGAGUGGAUGGGCGGGCGACCUCCCUCAUAUCGAGAGACCACACGAUGCAGGGGCAGCGUGUGGUGUGAGGAGAAGUAUUUUGGAAUCUCUUCGGAGUCCCGGGUGAUCCGAAGGAGUUAGGAGGACUUCUACUGACCAUCGAAGUUUAGUUUACUGGCAGCAUGAGUCUGGAGUUACAAAAACCAGACUAAGGUGACAAUAUCCGGGAGUAGGAUCCAGUUCACAGGGCUAGUAUUAAUGGGGUUUCUUGUUGGUGGUAUUUCAGGAUGAAAUCGAGUGACCAACAAGAGGAAGACCAUUACACAUGGUUGCUUGCUUGAUUUCAUUCAAUUGAACUCAACCACAUAAAUCAUUCAUCCUCUCCGUGGGCUGCAAGAGAGAGAAGAGAACUAUUGCAUAAGACAAUGGAAUUCAAGAGGUUCUAUUAUGUACCUUAACAUAACCUAUUCCAUCCUGUACUAAACUUCUAGUUAUACAAAAGUUACAUGUUUUAUUUAAAAUAUAUUUCUUACAAAAUAUUCGGUCUUGGAAAACUAAAGACACUUAAAGUCUUUUCUGCAUACAAUCCAAAAUUCAACAUAGAAAAAAAAAAAAAAAAAAAAUACUCAUACAAUUAAGUCUAAAUUGUCUUACUUGGUGUUUUAAGCAAUAAAGUUGCUGGUACAAAAUUGGUGCUAUUCAAAUUCUUUUGCACCAUAGAAUUAAAGUUACUUAGACUCUCUUAUAACAUGGAUAUGUUGAUCAAUAGCAAAUGAUCUUAAUCAGAUGAAGAAUUUAUUCCAAAUAAAGAUAGAACAAUAUGGUACCAAAAGCAAGGUAUUUUAAUUGAAUCCUUGUAGUUGUAUGCAUACAUUGGUGCAUUAUUUUGUAUUUUAGGACAUUGCUUAGAAUCAAUAAGACAAGAUAUGUCCCUUAAUUCAUGACACUCUAUAGAAUCUAUGAGUUAGGAAAAGGUGUUAAGGAACAAUGUGUCUCAAAUCUGAUAAAAGAUGAUGGAUAGAAGCUAAAUGAUGAGUAGAAUCAACUCCACCUGUGUCAAAGGACACUCAAUAAUUCCCUAAUUAUCAUCAUAAUUAAAUUACAUAAAUAAAAUACAAAGCAAAUUCUUAUCUCUGAUAGCUCAUCCAUAAUUCUUUGAGGGUGGUCUAUAAUCUCCAUGUUUGCUAAUUGAUACUAAACUUGGACAUAAUACGCAACACUUGCUGAUAAAAAGAAGUGUUAAAUCAAGGAGGGAUGAAAAGGAGGUAGGGGGAGGGAGAAAGAAGAGAGAUAUGUUGAUAUAACCCUCCAAACACUACAUGAAUUUUAAAUCCUACUAUACUACAUUCCAUAAUUUUGGCCUACUAUAUACACUUCUCCUAUAUCAAAAUCACCAAUCACUAAUAAAUUACUUCUUGGAACAUCUUAAAUCCUCCAUUCUUUUUGAUAUUAAAUCUAAUAUAGAAUAUCACUACAUAUAUGUUUGUUAUACAAGACAUAUUGGCCAUAUAGGAAGAAUUUAGGUUUAAUUAUUCAUUCUCCUAUUUUUCAAUAUUCUUUACUUUCUACAAUUUUGGAGGCUUUGGAAUUAUAGAAUGCAUCAUACAACAACAUAAAUAUUAGAAAAAUAAACACAAUAAUAUUAUAGAACUAUUGAUCUUGAUUGAAUUUUUAUACACUUCUCAACAACUAAGUUGGCAAUAAGCAUAUAAAAUUUGGAAAAAAUUGCAUGUACCAUGUAGAAGAAAAUUCUUGAAAUCCACUUAGGUAUUUGUCAACCUUCUACUUCAAUCUGAAUGUUGAACUUCUAGUACAAAUAUCUCCUUUUCAAAAUAUUUAGUUGUUUUUAAAUUAUACAAAUGUAUAGCAAAUCAAGUCUCUAACCUUCUUCCAUAAAUUUUAUUCCAAUCCAAUUUGUAGAUUGCUAAAGAUCUUAGAAAUCCUAACUACCUCUCAAAGUCCAAUUUCUGAGACCUCAACCUACCUAAAGUUUAAUAACCUUCAAUUCAACUAUUUGAUCAAAUUAAAACUUAUAUCAUACAUUUCAGACAACUAUUCACAUAAGUUCAUAAAUUUUGAACUAUUGAUCUAUUGCCAAACUUAUGAAAUUGUCCAAAAUAUAGUAUCCUAUUUAUUUCACAAAUUCGAGAGUCACCCAAAACAAUUGUGACUUUGCAAAGCUCUUACAAAGUCAUUACACACUCAAAUCACUUAAAUUAAAUGCCAAAAGAUGCCCUAUUAAGUUUGCACUCAAAUUUUGCUCUUAGAUCUGCAAUAGAACCUUGAAGUUGCUACUCUUGCAUGUUUUUGAGCCUCAAGGUCUGAUUUUGACUUAGGUUGAUAACUAGUCCUCUCCGGAUAUCAAAUUUUACCCUUUUGAGUUAUUUUUUGUUAAAAUCAACUUCUAACUUCCUCUUACAUAUGCUCAUAUGCUUUAUUUUUCUAAUCUAUCUUUUUAAUCUAUCUUAAAAAGAUAGAUUAGAAAAAUAAAGCAUAGAAAGUAGAUUACAAAUUUAUGGCCUUACAAAGUAAGUAGAAGCCUACUUUACAAAAAUGUCGCAUUUAAACCUUUAAUUCUACUUUCUUUUUGAUUAUUUUCUGUUUUCUAAGAUAAUUUUUUAUAAUAUUUGAAAUAAGAUCUUCUAUAAUAUAAUAGAUUUUUCACCACUUUCACCUAUUUAUCAUAUUACAUCAUAACAAUGAUUUCCGAAAAAGAUGAUAUAUCAAAAAAAAAAUUUCUAUAGCUACAAAUAGAAAUUGUGUGGCUAUAAUCAUAUGCAACAUGUAGUAAAGGUUUGUAAGUCCAACCAAUGCAUUUUAAUUGGUGGAUUGGUUAAAAACAUAGUUUUAAGUCAUUAAAUUAUAUAAAAUAUUAAAAUUAAAGAAUAUUUUUGACCAUUCAAGUAUUUAUAAAAAUUUAGAAGUAUUUAUAAUUUUUAAAAAUCUUAUUAGAAGAAAAGUUAUAAAAAUGGAGUCUUAGUUAGUGUUUAAUAUAAUUAACUUAGUUGAUUUAAAUUUUUUACUUAUUGUUAAGUAUUAAUAGUUAGUUAUUGAGACCAAUAUCUAUAUUGGCCUCCUAUUUAUAUGUAUUAUUUAUAAAAAUCCUAUCAAUGAUGAAUUAGUUGUUAUAAAAAGCAUAAAAAAGAAUUUCAUAUUUUUUUGAUUAAUUAUAUAGAAAAGAGGAUUUUUAGUGGAUUUAAAUUGAUUUUAUUAUUAUAAAAAAUCACCAAGAUGGAAUAAGAUAGCUUUAAAUAGAUAUAAAUAUUAUUAGAGUUAAUAGAAUUUAUUUAGAUUUAUUUAGGAUAUUUUAGAAAAAAUUUCAAGACUAUGGUAAAAUUGAAUUUUUCCACCUCAAGAGCCACUAUGAAAAAAUAUAAUAAGAUUUAAAAACCAUGUGAGAUUCUUAAAUCAUAUGAGUUUUUUAAAUACUAUGGUGAAUUACUAACAAUAAUUUGGAUUUACAUGUUUUUUACAUCAUUAGAAAGAGAAUAAAAUCACUUAUGUAAUAAUAUAUUUUUAAAUAUUUAUUUUUACUUUUUAUUGAAUAAAAAAAAUUUUAAAAAAUUCAUAGAGUACUUUUGUUGUAUAAAAUUACUUUAUUGCACCUAUUUCACUUAUUUAUUUAUUUAUAUUUUUUUUAUUCUUGUUUAUUUCAUUUUUUGCUUCACACCAACUAUUAAAAUCCUUUUUUAAUUGAGGCCAUCUUCUAAUUUGGAUUGAAGGAGAAAUUAACCCUCAUAAGAUCAUAUUCUUUCUUUAAAUCUCUUAUCUUAUUUUAUAAUAGAUAUAUGUUUAGGACCUAAAAAUUAUAAAGUCUUUGCGUAAUUAAAUUUAGAAGCCUCAGCUUGUUUUAUAGACAAAGACUUGGUCAAAAAUAAAUAAUACUUUAAUUUAAAAAAACUAAAUCCGUACAAGUAAUAGUCAUAGAUGGUUGUUUAUUAUCUUCUAAAGAUGUUAUCCAUGAAACUAUUCCUUUAGAUAUAGCAAUUAAAGAUUAUAAGAAUGUAACAAUGUUUAAUAUUUUAAGAUCUUCUUCUAAUUCAAUAAUUUUAGGAUUAUUGUCGUUAAAAAAAUAAAACUCUCAAAUAGAUUGGAUUUCUUAUAACCUUGAAUUUUUUUGUAGUUUAAUCCAAAAUUUUAUUAAUCAUAUAGAAAUAUAUAGGUCUAAUACAUCAAAAUCUUUAUUAAUAGGUAGAAGAACUUUUAUAUAACUUUUUUACUUGCUAUAUAUGCCACGCCUAUUCUUGAUGGUGAAAAGAUAUAAAAUGGUAUUUCUAAUUAGUAUUAAGAUUUUGAGGAUGUUAUUUAAAAGAAAAAUACAGAUAUUACUCUAGAACAUGGACUGUAUGAUUGUUCAAUUGAUCUUCAAGAAAGAGCUCAACCGCCAUAUGAACCAAUCUACAACUUAUUGCAAAACGAGUUGGUUGCACUAAAAGAAUACAUUAACAAGAACUUGGCUAAGAACUACAUAUGCCAUUUAAAAUCUCUAGCAUGAGCUCCUAUCUUAUUUUUGGAGAAAAAUGACAAAUCUUUGUAGAUGUGCGUAGAUUAUCGAGGACUUAAAAAAAUCACCAUCAAAAAUAGGUUUCUCUUACCUUUGAUUUUAGAAUAUUGUGACCAACUCAAUCAAGUAAAGAUCUAUACAAAAAUAGAUCUACAAAGAGCAUACAACUUAAUGUACUUUAAAGUAAGAAAUUAAUAGAAGUCUACUUUUAGAACUUGCAAUGGACAUUUUAAAUAUAAUAUCAUGUCUUUUGGACUCACAAAUGCACCAAUUAAUUUUUAACAUUUUAUGAAUUAUAUUUUUUAUGAGUUUCUUGAUGAUUUUGUAGUUUGGUUUUUAGAUGAUAUUCUAAUAUAUUCUAAGAAUAUAAAAGAAUAUGAAGUUUAUGUUUGUCAUGUGUUACAAAAACUUAAAAGUGUACAAUUGUAUGUCAAGAUAGAAAAGUGUAUAUUCUACACUACUUAAGUUGACUUCCAAGGAUACAUCAUUUUCAAUAAAGGCCUUAUUAUGGAUCCCAAGAAAAUCUAAACUAUUGUAGAUUGGAAGAUUUUAAGAACAAUAAAAAAAUAUCUAAUGAUAUUUAAACUUUUUUAGUUACUACUAGAUCUUCAUGAAGAACUUUUUUAAAGUUGUACCUCUACUUAUAUGUUUGAUUUGUAAUAACAAACUGGAGUGGAAUAAAGAAGCCAAAGUAUUGUUUCAUGCUUUAAAGAAGGAAUUUAUUUUUGUAUCAAUCUUGUAUCAUGUUGACUUGUCUAAGGUAUUUUUAAUAGAAAUAGACACAUUAGACUUUACCUUGGGUGUAAUAUUGCCACAAAUAAGAGAAAAUAAGAAACUCCAUCUAUUAUCUUUCUAUUAUAAGAAAUUUUUAAUCACAAAGAUUAACUAUAAAAUCUACAAUAAAUAAUUUCUUACAAUUGUAGAUUCUUUUUAAAAAUGGCAUCGUUAUCUUGAAGAUGCUUCUAAUAAUGUCAUUAUAUAUGUCAAUUAUAAGAACUUCAAAUAUUUUAUAUCAAUAUGCAUGUUGAAUCGUCACGAGACUUGUUAAAGCAUAUCAUUAUUAAGUUUGUAUUUCAAAGUCAUAUAUCAACUUAGCAAACAAUAAGGUUAUUUAGACGUACUUUUAAGAUAUUCUUAUCUUACACCACAGGAGGAGAUAUAGCUUUUGAUCAAGAAAGAACAACAAUCUUAAAGCUUAAGAAAUUUCAUCUUUGAGCAAUGAAAUCAAUAUUAACCAUUGAUUCAAUCUCUGUCAAGCAUAUUGAAUCAAGUAUGUUUUUUAAUCCUCUUGUUCAUGAUAUUAAGAAUAAUUCUUUCAAAUCUUAUGAUUUUACUAAGUUUGAGUUCAAGAACAAUGUAUUUUAUUUCAAAAAUUAUCUAUAUGUUCUAGAAGAAGAAGAAGGAUGUUUCUUUAUUCUUUAAGCUUGUCACAACUUUCCAAGGGCAGGAUAUUUUGAAUACAAUGACACUUUGAAGCUAAUAUCUAGAGAUUUUUUGUGGCCGUAAAUGUAGAAGAUUGCAAGAGACUUUGUACAAUCAUGUAAUUGUUCAAGGUUAAAAACUCAUUGCUAUUGUUCUUAUGGACUUUUCCAACUAUUGCCUACACCAAAAUAACCAUAGUCUUUUGUUUCUAUGGAUUUUAUUAUGGAUCUUCUAAGUUCAAAUUUAUAUAACUUUAUAUUUAUAAUUGUAGAUUAUUUCACCAAAAUGAUAGAUUUUAUAUCAUGCACAAAAUCUAUUUCAUGUAAAGAAAUAAUGAAGUUUUUUUUUUGACAAUAUAUAUUACUAUCAUAGAUUAUUAAAGGAUAUUAUAUAAGAUAGAGAUCAAGAUGAAAAAAAAAAAAUUAUUAUAAAAGAAACAAGAGUAGAUUGGAAUUAUAUUCUAUCUUCUGUCAUAGUCAAUGGCUUUUGCAUAUUCAAGAUAUUGAAGAUAGAGAAUUAAUAAUCAAUAGACCUAAGUUAAGAGCUAGCAUUUGCUAAUUUAUUAGAUGAGAAAUUAUAAUUAUUACAAUGGAAUAAAAACAAAGAUUUUUAAGAACAUGUUCUUUCUUGAAUAAAUAGAAAAAUACAACAUGUUUGAUAUCAUGACAUUAGAAAAGACUUUAGAUGUUUGGUGAUAUUACUAGAGAUUGAAACUACAUCUGUUGGACUUUCAAAUGUUUCAUUUGAAAAAAGCUAUGAAGGUUCCAACAAUGAUCAAAUAUUAGGAUGAUAUAUUUGCUUUAAUAUAGGAUAUUAUCAAUGGUUAAAAGGACCUAUCAACUAUCUUUGAAGAAACAAAGACUAAAAUAUAUAAAAAAUGUAACUUUUUACAUCUUCAAUUUUAUCAACAUGUGAUUACUAUUUCUUGUAGAACUUGUCCUUAAAAGGAUGAAGAAUAAUGUCAUAGAUGGAGAUGUUUAUAUAGAUAAAAAGUGUUAGAUAAAAAAUAAAUGUAGGUAGAACUCAUGAUAUUUUGAGGGACAACUUCUUACAAACUUUUUAAACAUGUAUUUGAAUUUAGGCAUAUUUGUAGUUGAUUCAUAGAUUAGAAACUUUGCCAAUAAAUUAGCCACAUAUUCCACAUAUUAGUAGCUUAUAGAAUAAGCUGACUAGGUAGUGUACAUAUAAGAAGCUUGUCUUAUAAGUUAGAGAUGUGGAUCACAAGUUAGAUACAUAUUGGAGGACCUAUAUAAUGUUGCCAUUUAAUUCUUAGUUAGAUAGUAUAUAUGGAGAUAAGAGUGAAGUCUUCUCCAGUCUUGUAUCAAGGGCAUGAACUGAAAGAAAAUGCAUAAACCUGAGAAAUUUGUAUUUAAAAAAAAGUGACAAAAUAGAAAUAAAGAAGUAUGUAUAUUAAAAGAAAAUUGUAAUGGCUAUUGCUAUAAGAUAAGAAAAUUAGAGACUCUUGAAUAUAGAAUAAAAGAAAGAAAAGAGUUGAGUAGAAUGAAGAGGACUUUAUUCUUGCUUUUAUAUAUACUAUCUAGUUAGAAGCUACAUGUUGAUGUUCUAUGACACCUCGAAUAUGUGUUGACUUUGCAAGACACAUGCCUUAGCUUAUAAGGCAAGUUUUUUACAUGUGGGCCACAUAGUUAGCUUAUUCUUCUAGCUACCAAUGCUUGUGGUACAUGGCCAACUUAUUGACUAUGUUUUUAAUCAAAAAAAUCAACUAAAGACACCUAUAAAGUCAAAACAAUGUCUAUUAAGCUUCUAAGAAGUUUUUAUAGAAGAUAUUAUAGAAUUAACUUACUUUUAUCUACUUUUAUCUAAAUCAUAUAGGUAAUUAUUGGUUUAUAUGUAUAUGUCAGUGACAUUACCUCCUCUUCAAGAGACAAGUUCCACAAGGAGCGGUCUUUAUAUAUUGAGGAAAUUCAAGUUGCAGAAAAUUAUAUUUGUUACAUACUUGGAUCUUUGUUCUCUUUGAAGAUAGUUGAUAGGCCCUCUCCACCAUCAAUAGUGUCAUAUAUAAGGGCAAAAAGACCACCCUAUUAUUUAAUCGUCAUUUAGGGCUUCAUUACUUCUUUCAAAUAAAAUAUUUGGAACACCGUCACGACUUGUUCCUAUUUUUAAUAAAAUCACCAAUCAUCGAGAGUCUCUUUUAAGGUUGUGAUACCAAACACAUUAUAUCUCAUUGUCUAUUUGAAGAAUGACAUAUCAUUCUUGAAGAUCUUCAUCUCAAUUUUAUCAUUUUAAAGGUUGAGACAAUCGCAAUGGUUCAUUUAGUAAGUUUGCAAAUAAAAGUUCUUGAGUUGAAUCUAUUGGUUGUUGGUUCUCCGUCUCUUUAGUGUCACAAAUAUAAAGAAGCUACUAAAAAAGAUAGAAGGUAGAAUGUAAUGUUUCUUAGACCUUGUUUCUUUUAUAGUAAAGACUUACUAUUCUUCAAUUUGAUUUAGAUGGAUGUCAUCAAUGAAAAGCUUCCACUACCUUUGUUGCAUUUACAAGAUUCUUUACUAACUUCUAUGUGUGUUCACUAAUAUCAUAUCUAUGCUAAUAGAUAAGAUAUUCUAAUUUAUUUUGAUGUUGCCUUGAAUCUAAAACUUCUUCUACUUCAAGCUCUUCAUUAUUGUUGACUUCUAUAAGAAGAGGUAGAACUUGUUUUUUUUUUGGUAUAUUCAUAGUCUUGUAUGGUUUAAGAAGAGACAUAUAGAAGAUAAGAUAGAAAUAUAUUACUUUUGAUAGAUAUAAUCAAUAAAUAAUUGGAUUAAUUUAUCCAUAAAUAGAAAAAGGUCUAAACCUAUGAUAGUCCAAUUUAGCACAAGGACGAGUAGUCUUGAUAUUACGACAAAGCAACCAUAUCUUAUCACAUACAUUAAAUUAUGGUUAUUCCUUUCGAUAGGUAUCGGCAUUGAUCUUUUGUCCCUCUCAAGCUUCUUUUAAUUGCACCUUCAUUGUUACAUGUGACUCUGAUAAAUGAUUUUUUAAAUCUUUUAUUAUAAGAUUAUCAAUUUUUGAAAAGUAAAAAGUAUCAAGUUAUAGAUGGUAACCAUAAUUGGCAAAAAAAAGAUGUUUGUUGCAUAGAAAAAUACAUCAUAUUAUUAUAAGUAAACUCUGCCAAUGGUAAGAGGGUUCUCCAAUCGUCUUGUUAAUAAUUAUUGGUACACCUUAAGUAUUGCUCUAAAACUUAGUUUACAUGCUUUAUUUAUCUAUCAAUUUGAGGAUAAAAGGCUAAAAAAAGAUUUAUGUCCAAUUUCAAAAUCUAAAAAAGAGUUCUCUAAAAUCUUGAUAAAAAUUGAAUCCUCCUAUCUAAUAUAAUAUCUUUUGACAAUCCAUGAUAUCGAUAGAUACUGUCAAAGAAAAUCUUGGCAGUUUCUUCACUUCUAAUAGAUUUUGUGCAUGGUACAAAAUAAGCCAUAUGGUAAAACAAUCUACUAUCACAAAUAUAGAAUUAUAUGAUCCUAAGAUUGGAAGAUCUAUAAUAAAAUCCAUAGAAAUAAAAAACCAUGGCUAUUUUGAAAUAGGUAAUAGUUGAAGAAGUCCAUAAGAUUGAUGCCAAGGAGUUUUUGACUCUAAAAAAAUGUUAUACAAUUAAACAAAGUUUUUAUAGCCUUCUAUAUUUGUGGCUACUAAAAAUCUCUAAAUAUUAGCUCUAGAGUCUUAUUAUAUCUAAAAUGUCUUACUAUUGGAAAGUUCUAAUGUAUUUGAAGAAUAUAUAAACGUGAUUCUUCUAUUGGCACAUAUAGACAUCCUUCAAAAUAAAAUAGAUUGUUCUUGAACUCAAACUUAGAAGUAUCAUGAGAUUUAAAAGAAGUUUUCUUAAUAUCAUGAAUAAGAGGAUCAAAGGACAUACUUGAUUAUAUUUGUUUGAAAAAUAUUGAAUUAAUAGUCAAUGUUGAUUUCACUAUUCAAAGAUGAAAUUAUUCUAGCUUCAAUAAAAUUAUCUUUUAUUGAUCAAAAGCUGAUCUCCUUCUUUAGGUGUAAGAUGAGAUCAUCUGGAAAGAUCAUCAAAAAAAUCUUCUUAUUUCUUAGUCAAUAAGUGAUAUUGAACUCAAAUCUUAAUAAAGACAUACUCCAACGAGCUUGGUGAUGAUUGAAAAUUUGAUCUCAUAUGAAAUACUCAAGGUUCUUGUGAUCUGUAUAUACGAUAUUGGAGUAGAAGUACCUUUUAGAUAAUGAUGCUAUUCUUAAAAAGAAUCUACAAUUACAAAAAGCUCUUUGUUGUGGAUCUCAUAGUUAAUCUUAGCUAUUAAAAACUACUUGGAAUGAAAAGCUACUAAGUGAAGUUUAUCAUCUAUUCUCAUUUGUGAUAAUACAAUACCUAAAGCAAAGUCCAAUGCAUUUGUUUCUAUAAAGAAUACCUUAGAAUAGUCAACGCGAUACAAGAUUAGUAUAAAAACAAAGGCUAACUUUAAAGCUUGAAAUGUUGCUUCUACUUCUUGAUUCCAUUAAAGUUUAUCUUUACAAGUCAAAUGUAUCAAUGGAGCUCCAAUUCAAGAGAAGUCUUUGAUAAAGAUCUGACAAUAAUUGGCAAAUUUUAAAAAAUAUUGGACAUCUUGCACUAUUUUAAGGAUCUUCUAAUCUAUAAUAGUUUAAACUUUCUUUAGAUCUAUCAUAAGUCCAUCGUUUGAGAUUAUGUAACCUAAAAAGUCAACUUGAGUAGUAUAAAAUAUAUACUUUUUUAUUUUGGCAUAGAGUCCUCCAUCUCUUAAUUUUUAUAACACAUGAUGAAUAUGAAGUUCAUGUUCUUCUGUGUUCUUAGAAUAGAUCAAGAUGUCAUCUAGAUAAUAGAUAAUAAAAUCAUCCAAAUACUCUCAAGAAACAUCAUUUAUAAGAUGUUGAAAAGCUGCUAGUACAUUUGUAAGUCCAAACGGUAUGACAUUAUAUUCAAAAUGUCCAUACUUGGUUCAAAAUAUAGUCUUCUAUUCAUCUCCUCCUUUGAUGUAUAUCAAAUUCUAUGCUCCUCAUAGAUCUAUUUUUGAAUAGAUCUUAGCUUGAUUCAACUGAUCAAGAAGUCUAGAUAUUAAAAGUAGUGGGUACUUAUUCUUGAUGGUGAUCUUGUUGAGUCCUCAAUAAUCAAUACACAUCAAUAAUGAUCCAUCUUUUUUCUUCCUAAAUAGAAUUACGGCGUUUACUGGAGAUUUAGAAUGGCAUAUGAAGUUCUUGGCUAGAUUUUCUUUAAUAUAUUCCUUGAUUUUGGCCAACUCAUUUUGUGAUAAAUUGUAGAUUGGUCUAAAUGGCAGCUGUACUCCUUCUUGAAGGUCAAUUGAACAGUCAUUUGGACAAUAUUCUAAAAGAGUAUUCACAUUUUUUUUUCAAAUAUAUCUUAAAAAUCCUCAUAUUGGCUUGGAAUACUACUUAAAGUCUUUGUACCAUUAGAAACGGGUGUUGCAUAAAUGAUACAAGGUGAUCUUUUUUUUUGUAGUAUAUAAGAAAGCUCUUAUACCUACAAAAAUAGGUUUAAUUAUAUUAGACUUGUGAUUUUUUACUUGAUUAACUACCUUCUUAGUUAUACUUUUAGAAAAGUCAAGAAUAUGAGAAAUCCAAUCUACUCAAGGGUUAUAUUUUUUUAACCUCAAUAAAUCUAAAAUGAUUGGAUAAGAAGGAGAUCUAAUGAUAUUAAAUACCACAAAGCUAUUAUGACCAUUAGUUAUUACUUCUAUAGGAAGAAUUUCGUGAAUAAUAUCUCUAGAAGAUAACAAGUGACCAUCUGUGACUUCUAUGUAAACAUGUUUAGUUUUCUUCACUAAAAAUAUAUUAAGUCUUUUAGUAAAUUUUUCAUCUAAGAAAUAUGUAGAGACUCCUGAAUCUAACAAGGUAGAGACUUUGUAAUGCAUAGGUCUUAAAAUAAUACUUAAUAUAAAACAAGAAAAAGGUUCUGAAGAGAAAAUAGGACCUUCAUUAGAUAUUGUACAAGUUUUUAGCUACAUGGUCCCUAUUCUAGUUAGAUUAGUUCAUUUUUUGAUAUAUUAUCUUUUUUGUCAUUCGUACUCAUCAUUUUAUAAUUGUAUUGCUUCUUUGGAUGCUCAGUACGAGGUUUAAAACAUACUAUCAAAAAAGAUUAUGCUUACAUUAAAAAAAACCUAAGCACACUACAAAACAUUGUCCAAAGAAGCAAUACAACUAUAAAAUGAGGUCUUUUCAUUCUGAGUACAAGGUUUAAAACAUACUGCAUCAAUUUACAUAUUCUCAACUUUUGAGUAUAUGUGUUGAAGAGAUAUUGAUAUUGCUAUUGAAUUAUAGUAACGUUGAGGCCUACUUGUCCAACUCUUAGAUCAAAAUUUAAAAAAUAGAUUAUCAUACUUCAUAGCAAAGUCAAUUGCUUGACUCAAUGUUUGAGGAUGAGAUAAGUUGAGCAUUAAUUUCUUUACUUCAUAUUAUAAUCUAUAGAAAAAUUGGCUAAUAAGUCUAACAUCAUCUCACUUGAUAUCACUUGUAAGUUGUUGAAAUUGUGAACAUAUAAUAUUAUGGAUUGAUUGCCUUGUGAUAAAAUACACAUCUUCUUGGUUGCAGCAUGAAUUGCAUCAUGUUUUCUAUACAUGGAUCAAAACUCCACUAAAAAAGCCUCCAAAUUAUCCAAUAUUCGAUCUUGUUGUUCAAAAAAAGAUAAAAACCAUGAUAAUGCUAAACCUAAAAGAAGUAUACCAAUGAAUUUAACUUAUGAUCUUAGAGUUGGAUAGCUUUGGGAUUGAAGUUCAAUCAUAAGUUGUACUUGAUUGAUAAAUCUUUGAAAUUUGGAUCUUGUUCCAUCAAACUUCUCAAGGAAGGCAAGUCUUGGUUCUCUAGUACUGGAAGGAUGUUCCACGACAAGAGAAGGGAUAUGAUUGGAUGCCGAUGUUGAAGCAAAUCCAAUCAUAUCUAUAUCAUCACCCCCUGCCAUUCUUGUUGUUCUUUGUCAUUAUAAACUGAGUUGAUGCAUCAUAAGCAUUAAUUCUCUCAAUUACUCUAACAUUUAUGCCAUUGCACUUAUAAUUUUAAAAAGCUUUUCCAUGAUAAUAUCUAAUAAAAAAAUAUCUAAUAUUGCUCAAGACAAGCAGAAGAGGGGACUUAAGAACAAAGAAGCUACUAAGAACAAUAUUAGUUUACAAAACGGUAAUCUGAAACUUCUAAUACACUUAAGAAAAAACAAUAAUCCACUCUUAAUCAAGAAAAAAAAAGUUCUAAUAUUAUAAAUGUAUUUUUAUCAAUCUGUCAAUGACAUGAAUUGAAAGAAAAUGUAUAAACCUAAGAAAUUUGUAUCUAAAUAAAAGUGACAAAAUAGAAAUAAAGAAGUAUGUAUAUGGAAAGAAAAUUGGAAUGGCUAUUGCUAUAAGAUAAGAAAAUUAGAGACUCUUGAAUAUAGACUCCAAGCAAGAAAGGAGUUGACUAGAGUGAAGAAGACUUUACUCUUACUUCUAUAUAUACUAUCUAAUUAGAAGUUACAUGGCGAUGUUCUAUGACACCUCUAAUAUGUGUUGACUUUGCAAGAUACAUGCCUUAUCUUACAAGACAAGUUUUCUACAUGUGGGCCACAUAGUUAGCUUGUUCUUCUAGCUACGAAAGUAUGUGGUACAUGGCCACCUGUUGAACACGUUUUUAACCAAAAAAAUCAACUAAAGACACCUAUAAAGUCAAAGCAGUGUCUAUUAAACUUCUAGGAAGCUUUUAUAGAAGAUAUUAUGGAAUUAAUCUACUUUUAUCUACUAUUAUCUAAAUCAUAUAGGUAAUUAUUAAUUUACAUGUGUAUGUCUAUGACAUCUUGUCAAUAUCUUUCUUGAUCUUAUUCUAAUCUUAAGAGUCCAAAUUCUUUUUGUCUUUGGCAAUAGUCAUUCUAAUCUUAAUACUAUAAUAUUUUUAGAAUGAAUAUUUAUUCUUCUUAAGUUAUAAAAGAAUAUUUCAAGAUUUACCUUAUUUUUAUUCUUUUUCUUAAUUUAAAUCUUGAUAAGUCAAUAAUGUGGUAUAGAGUCAAGGAAGAAGAGAGUUGAUAUAAGCCAUUUAAUUUGUGAUAUUUCACAAAUCACUCUUAUAGUAUUUGGAUUUCAAAAUCACCCACUUUAUGAAAUGGAUGAUUUGGUGAAGUAUCAAGUGUUAUUUUCUUAAAGACAAGAUACUAACAAGAUUUUUGUUUUUAUAAACUUACAACUUAUUUGAGCAAUUAGUAGUAGCCAAAGGCCUAACACUUUUUUAAGCCAAAACUCUCUCUAUUAUGAUAACAUCAACAAAUUCAAUUUGAAUGAACCGGUCCAAAUUUUUGAAUUUAAAUAUUAGAAUGCAUCAAAUGUACUAUUUAUUUGAGAAUAAAUUAUUUUUAUCAACCAAAAUUAUAAGAUGGCCUUAAUUAAGAGUUGCUUGUAAUUGGUGGUAUGAAGAAGAAGUAGCAAGAAACAAGAAAAAAAAAGGAACAAUAUAAAAUAAGUGAAACAAGUACAAUCAAGUAAUUAAUGAUUACAAAAUUAGUCACAAUCUAUUUACUGGAUUUUUAUAUAAUAAAAAAUAAAAAUAAAAUUUUAGGUAGAUAAUUUUUUAAAUAUUUCUAAUUAUUUAUAAAACAUAUAAAUCCAAGUUAUUAAGAGUAAGUUAUGAUGGAUUAAAGAUAGAAUAUAAAUAAUAGAAAAGUGAAGUGAAUAACUUUUACCUCAACAAUAACUUGGUUAAAAGAUCAAAAAUUCGAGCCUCACUAAGGCUUACAAGUAGUGUAUAUCGGUCUUCUAAAGAGGCCAUGAGGCCUUAGUCUUAUCCUCCUACCUACAUCCAAGGUGCUACAACCUACAUGGAACUUGUGAACCUCCCUUUCUAUAAGGACUAUACUAGCUGCUAGUCCUUUUAUUUCCUACUAAUAAAACUAACAUUUUUUCUUUUUUUACUUCACCAUGGUGUUCAAAUACAUCCAAUUAGCACAUGAAUCUUCUAUAGCUUUCAAAUUUUGUUUCAUUUCUUCAUAAUGGCUCCUAAAGAUGGUAAAAGUUAUUUUUACCAAAGUCUUAAAAUCUUCUUUAAAUAAAUUCUAAAUAAAUUCUAAAUAAAUUCUAAAAUAUAUUAUAAUAUUUUUAUAAUACUAAUAUCUAUUUAAAGCUAAAUUUUUCUAUCUUGGUGAUUUAUUAUAGUAAUAAAAUCAAUUUAAAUUUACUAAAUAUUUUAUCUUCUAUGUAAUUAAUUGAAAAGACAUGAGAUUCUUUCUCAUGCUUCUUAUGACAAAUAAUUCAUCAUUGAUAGGAUUUUCAUAAGUAUAUAGAAUAUAAAUGUAUGUAGAUUUGAUCAUACCUUGUGGCAAAGCUUCUUAAAAGUUUUAUAGACAUGGAUUUAACUUUAGUCGUGUUUUUAGUUGAUUGAUAGAUUUAAAUAUAAAUAUCCAUAUGGUUAGUAAUUAAAUAUUUACUCUUUUUGAGUGUCAAAAGAAUGUAUUGAAGAUUUUAUUGUCUAAAAUUCAUAUCUUUAAUAUAUAGAGAGCAUAUUUUUUUAAUAACAUACAUUUGCAAGCUUGAUAUUUUAUCAAUAAAAUUCUUAAAUUAAUACAAGAAGAAUUUUUUAUAAAUGAUAUGUAUAUUCAAAUUAACAUAAGGGAUUUGAAAUCAUUUCUACAUACUUACAAAUACAACUCUAUUUUUAAUAAAUAUUAGAAGAAAGAUCCCUAUUACAAGAAUGAGUCUUAGAAUAACUUGUUACAAACAUAUAUAUAUAUUCUAGUAAUUUUCUAAAUAAUAUGAAUAGGUAAAAGUAGAUAAAAGUAAAUUAAUUUAAUAAUAUCUUACAAAAAAGCUUUCUAGAAGCUCUAUAGAUAUGGUUUCAUCUUUACACAUGUUUACAAGUAAUUGAUAGAUUGAAUACUUGGCCAACAAAUUAGCCACAUGUUGCACAUGUUGGUAGCUUGUGAUACAAGCUAAUCAUAUGGUGUACAUAUAAAAAACUUGCCUUGCAAGUUAUGUCACAUGUCUCGCAAAUUAGACACAUCUUAGAAGUCUUAUAGAAUGUCUCCAUGUAACUUCUAGUUAGAUAGUAUAUAUAAAGAUAAGAGUGAAGCUUUUUUCAUUCUUGUCAACUACAUUUUUUCUUCUAAUCUAGUUUCAAGAAUCUCUAAUUUUCUAAUCUUUGGUAAUAGCUAUUCUAAUUUCUUCUUGAAUAAACAUAUUUUCUUAUAAUUAUUUUGUCAUCUCUCUUUGAUACUUAUCUCAAUUGUUUAUGUAUCUUCUUUGAGUUCUUGGUCUUGACACAAUCAAAGAUCAAAUAAUAUUAGAUAUAAUAAAAAAAUAUUUUUUUCCUUAAAUUACAAAAAUCUAAAACAUUAUAUUAAAAAAAUUUAAUUUUUAAAAUAAAUGAUAAAUAUUUUAAUAAGUUUUAUAAUUUCUAAUUAAUUUUUAUUCAAAAUCAAAACAACCAAGAAAAUUAUCAAUUAUAUAUAGCUUUUAUAUUUAAUUUAGUAAGUAUAUCAUCCAUAAUUAAUCAUCAUUGAUAUCUAGAUAUUAAUACUACUUAAUAUAUGUCUUAUGACAAAAAAAACUUUUUAAAAUUGUAAACAAUAGCCAAAUUAUUCUUUAAUUUAAUUAAGUGAGAAUACUACCUAUAUAUUUGAAGAUUAAGGAGAUUUCGUACUAAAUUUAUUUAAUAAUAAAAUAAAAUAAAAUUCUAAUAUUCUACAUUUUUUAGCCUUUUAAAAAACUUAUUUUUACUAAUAUAAUUUAAGAAAGUUGAUAGAAAGGUUUUAAUAUUAAAAAUAGAAAUAUUCACAAAAAAUAAUAUUGUUAAAAUACUUACUACCUAUUUAUUGGAAAAUGAUAUGUAUAAAAUUAAUAGUAUUUAUAAAUUUGAUUCUAGCAUAAUUGCUUGUCUUAUUAUUGUCCAUGAUAAAACAUAUUUACAACGUUAUUACUUAGAUUAUAUAAAUAAACAAAAACUAUAGCAACUUAAAUCAAUAUUUAUUGGCAAGAUACUUAUGAUGUCAAUAUUAUACUAUUAUUUCAACCUUUAUUAUAAAUAAAUAAUAUAAAUUUUUUAUGUUUUUUAAUCAAUAAAACUUUUUUUAUGCUACAAGGUUGUUGGAACUAAUUUUUGUUGUGAAUUAUUUAGACUAAUUAAUCUACCAACUUACUUUUUAUUUUUAUAUUUCUUAACUUUUAUUAAUAUCAAUACUUGAUAUUCAAUUGUUUAUUUAUUUAAAAAUAAAUUAAUAAUCUUUGAUAAGUUUUAAAGAUAGAAAUAAUUUGUAUAAAAUAAAACUUCUUAAAAGUCAAUUAUUCUUUGUUCAUAUAGCAAUAGUAAAUAUAAGUCUAAAAUUUUAUUUAUUUAUUUAUUUUAUUUUUCUAAGAACAUGGUAUUCAAUAUCUAACAAAUUUAUAUAGUCAAUUUUAAAAAAUAUCUAUCACUCCUAAAAAUGACGAUGCUUUUUACUUUUGUAACAUCAUUUAGCUCCCAAGCAAAGAUCUCAACAAAUAAUAUAUUCUUACAAAGAACUAAUACUAUUCAUAGAAGGUUAAACAAAUUCUUAAUUCAAAUCCUAAAGUUAAGAAACAAGCUUUGAUUAUUAAUACAAUCCAUGAGCCCACUACUUUUAAACAAGCUUUGGCUAGUCGUUAUUUCAAAGAAUAACAAUUAAUCAUUGAUAUAAAAACAUUUAGUUUUAUUUUAAAACAAAAUGUUGCCAAGAAUUUUAUUUUCUAAAGAAUGUAAAUCUAUUAUCUCUAGGUAGAUUUUAAAAAUUAAAUAUAAUAUUGAUAAUUCCAUCAAUAAGUUCACCCUUCUUUUACUACAUGGACAUUCUUUUAUGCUACACACCUCUCUAUACACACAAUAAAACUCUUAUUUAUCCUGAAUUGUUUUACGACAAGUUUUCAAUAAAAAAUUUCUUAAAUGAAAUUACUAAUCUUUUAAAGUGAAUGAAAGACUUCAAUAAAGCAAAUUAUGAAAUCUUGUCAAAUUUACUAAAUAAGCAAAAAGAAGAAGAAGAAGAAGAAAGAAAAGAAAAAAAAGAAAAAAAAGAAAAAAACAUGCCAUAAGCUAAAUCACAUAGAUUUACUUAUACAAAUUUAUCCUAAAAAAUUUUAGUGGAAAAGAGAGUUAUUGUCCGUAUGUAGGGAUGGCAUAAGACACAAGAAUUUGCUUUAAUUAGACACAGUCCCUCUUUACAAUCAAAUUGGGUAAUUUUUUAAAAAACUGCACUUCACAAAAACUACCUACAAUCUUUGCAAUCUCCUAAUUUGAAACCAAUGCUACACGUGAAAACAUUGUUGCAUCUCCUUUGCCCUACACAUCUUCAAACUUGCAAAUGCCAUAUCUAUCAAUGUUGCAUUCAAAUGAGAAAGGGUUCCUUUGUUAUCCACUCCUUCCUAAUACAAGGAAAUUCUUCAUCCUAAACACCUCUACUUUACUCCACGCUCACUCACUCACUGUCUCUCACCACCAUUGUCUCUUGCACAUAUCAAUCAUCGUCGAAGUUAGUUGGGCUUUGGUGACUUCAAACCUUUCAACUCAUCAGCUUCCUCCUCCUCUAAAAGUCCCCACAAACUUUGCCAGCUUCCGUUGGGUGACUCCAGCCAAAUGCUCAAUUUCAAGUCCUAAUCUUUGCGAACACUCUCUUCAACUCUAUUGCCUCUCGGAAUCAUUUAGCUGAAACCAUCACUUUUAUCCACAGCUAACCGCCAGAAGCACCCACUUCCACACUGCUUUGAAUCCUUCACAAAUACAACACCGAGACUGCGUUCCCUCCUUGAAUUGUUGCGGCCACACACCCGCUUCACCCUCUAGUUCGGCUCCACUCCAGUCACUUAUCAAACAUACCACUAUUCCAGGCCAUGGUCGCAAUCGCUGCCUCCUAAAACCAUUCUUUGUCACCGACUCACAUUCCUUCGCCUCGCCCCUUCUUCACUUCUGCUCCUCUGGGCUCCACACGAUCGCCAUGUAUGCGAUCAUUUCCAUCCGUUGUAAGAAAAAGCGAAUACGAACUUGUCCAAACUACCUCCUUGUUCCGUUGUUCGUCCAAGCAACUUACUAGUCCUUCACAGAGUUCCGCAGACCUCAAACGUUGUUGCCAACACUCGGCCUACACACCGUCUCCGCUUUCCUACCUGGGCAGCAUCCUGCUGAGUCCGCCCAGUCCAAUGUAUUACGUACAAUAUCACCGAUGCGUCCAGGCCUCUUCGACACAUCUCCGUGUUUACAAAGGCUCUGUCCAGUAGCUCUUUUUCCUUGCUGCCCGCCUUGACCUUGUACUUUUCUUUGAACAAAUUCAGCACCUCUCCCUCUCCAUUGUUGUACAGAAUCUCAGAAUUGCCCGAAUCGACGUCGAUAGUCUUGACUCUGCCAUCACAUCACGUCCGUUCCGAGGUGCAGUACACCGAAACCGCAUCCCCGCGCUCAGCCUCGUAUGUCAAAUACUUUGUUCUCUCCGAUCUCCACCAGCAAUCAUCGAGUACGACUUUCUUUUCUUUUCUCUUGCUUGUCUUUGCAGGAUCACGUGGUUACUGCAAACGCUAAACUUCUGUGGUAACCCUGUGGCGCUUAUUCCCAUGAGUGCACAAGAUGAUUGACCUCGCAACAACCUCCUCAAUAAGCACCGCAAGCCUCAAAUCCUGUCUCUUCUCAACUAUUUGCGUACUAGAUAAUAAUAUCAAAAUGAAAAAUAUCAAAAGGGCAAAAUGAUAAUUCAAAAGUCUAGAUGCAAAUAUAAGGCUUUUAUAAAAAAAAAUGUAUCAUAUUCUCAUAACAUCAAACACCAUUCCUCGAUCUCGCUUGAACUCAUCCAUACAUGCAAAACCAAUUUACAACUACUAAACAAAGUCAUGAUCGACAUCUUAACUAUUACUUACCUAACAAACAUUUACUGCACACAAACAUGCAAGGUAAACAAAAUGGAAGAACUGUGCAAUAUACAUUAUCAAUUCCAAUAACUGUAUGUCAUAAUGGAGAGAAACACAGCAAGCUCCCCACUUCUGAGGUCCUCAACAUCUUCACUGUG